Molecule: long non-coding RNA, 81644 nt
Filed under: Solanum lycopersicum (tomato)
Lineage: Eukaryota; Viridiplantae; Streptophyta; Magnoliopsida; Solanales; Solanaceae
Description: long non-coding RNA (SLYC_LNC000013)
Source: RNAcentral
GCAUUCUAUAAUGAGCAAGAAAGUGGAAUUGACUAAUUGAUUAUGAGCAUAAUUGAAUUGAAUGGAAGGAAGAAGAUUCACAAUGAUAUUUUUAUCACCUUUUUUAAUUCAUUAAUGAAGGGUGAUAUACAUAUUAUACACUAUAAGUUUUACCUCUAUUUUAGCCUAAAAAUGUGAAUAUUGGAAAAUAGUCAUAACUAAUAUGAUACAAACUAUUAUUAAUAUGAUACAUCAAUAACAUUUGAUGACUUUGGAGAAGCCUUUUACAACACCAAAAGGUUUCCAAAUACACAUAUAUUCAUCAAUGAAACAAAGAGGUACACGCAUACGCUUGAUAUUCAGAGAUAUGUCAAACCACAAUAAUAUACUCAAUCUUAAUCUUUAUUCUUCUUCUUUUGAGAUGACUUUGAGAGCCUUAUUGUUUUCGUCGUUGAUCCUUAGAAGAUUUCACUUGGAUCACAAUACUAUAUACUUAUCUAAAAUUUACCAUAUGAGUCAAGAUCUUCUUAUUGAAAUCAGAAGUCUUGAUUUUGAUCGUAAUCUUGAUUUUCCUUGUGUUUUGUAAUAGGAGCCAAGACAAAAGAGGAAUUGGCUAUAAGGACAUUAUUAUUGUUGUUGGUGUUACUGAUGGAGUUAUUAUAUGAUUUCGAAUCAUCUAAAAUUUCAUUAUCACUAUUCUUUUUGGUUUUGAUUAGAAGAGAGUUUUGUUGGGAAGUGUUGAUGUCUUUCUUUGUUUUUUGGAGGGGAUAAAGGAGAUCUGUUGGGAAGAAAUUGUAUUGAAGGCCAGCCAUGAAAAGUGUGUUAUUAUCACUUAGUUCUUUUUUUUGAUGUUUUUGUUUUGUUUUGUUUUAAAGAAUUGGAUGGGUUGUGCACUUAUAUUUAUAGGCACUAAGAAAUUGGGAUUUUUGAAGAGUCAAUGACUAAUUGGCUAUUGAUUGGUGUGGAGGAUCAAAAUAAGUAAUAAAUAGUAGAGAGAAAUAAAAAAAAAGAAAAGAGAAAAUCAAACAAAUUAAUAUUAAGUCACUAUUGUGUAUAUAUUAUAUAAAAAAAAAAUAUAAACAUUGCUUAAUCAUGGUUUGAGUCAAUAUUCGAAGUGUAUACCUAGAUUAUUCGAAUAAUUAAUCCACAUACUAAUUAGUAUUAGGGAAGAACAAGUACUCCAUAAUUUUUAAUUGGCUCUAGUUGUGACACUUGUCCAAGUGAAAAACCAUUGCUUCUGGAUAGUUGGCUAAAGGCAGGCAUGAUUUUGACUAGUAUCUAUUUCUUUACCAAAUUAAAUUUGUCACCAAACAUUUUUAUUUAAUUGUGUAUACUAUAUGAUAUUCUUGCACUUUGUAAUACAUGUUAUACUUGCUAAACUAAAUGAACAAGUCACUAGAGCGAGGGAUGUUAAGCGCCUUUUAUUCAUGUCACAACUUAUUUUAAGAUAUAUAAUAACAAUAAUUAUUGAGAAAUAUGACAAAUGCAAAUUUUCUAGAUAUUAUAAAAAUAACAUGAAUCAACUAUGAUAUUUAGUUAAUUUAUCGCUAAAUAAGCAGUAGCUAACAUGAUACUUGACUAUACCAUCAGGCACCAUUCAUGGUACUCUGCUCUUAUGUAUAUAUAUUGUUCAGGCUCUUUAAAAAUAUUGCUGUGCCUCUAACAAACCUGAAUUAUUCAUAACUGAAACACGAUUAUAACUUUAGAAUAGUAAUUGCAAUACAUAAACUAUUGAAUUACAAUGGAAACAAUAAGUAACUAAUGAUAGAGAUAAGAAUGAGAAGCGUAAACUCUAGAAGAAGAAGAAAGAACAACAAUUUUUCUUCGAUAUGCAUAAACCCUGAAUUACAUACAACUAUCUCAUUUUGAUGAAACUAUUCUCACACUCACUAUCCAGCUCGGAUUUCAAAUUAACCCAGUCUUAUUGAUUGUUCUCAAUCUAAUAACUCUUGUCCACCCAACUACUUGUGUGACCUUAAUAUUCAUAUUAAGUUGAAUUUGGUUCAUAACUAACAACAAACAAAUAUUUUUAUUUCAAAAGAUUCUUUUAUUAAAUAUAUUUACAAAGCUAAAUAAUCAAAAUAUUUUGAAAUUGUUUCUCGGAGAAAUGACAAUUACUUUUAUUAAGCCAAGAUUUUUUGUCCAUCUUACACCUUUACAUACAUGUUCACUUUGCAUGGAAGAGUUUGGACAAGUGGCUCAUUAUACCAUUUCUUUCUAACUCUUUAAAUACUACUCUUUUGUUCUUUUAGCUUUAGGAAUACAUAGAAAUUGACAAACAUUCUGCCUUAUUUAUGAAUCUCUCGUUUUCACCAUUUCUGUUCUCAUGGUUGUUUUAAUUAUAAUUAUUUUGGCAUAGGAAAGUGCUUGUUUAAUUUUUAGGAAACAUUUCAUACUGUUGAAUAGUUUUUUAGGAUAAUGCUCAACAUGAUUCAAGUAUUAAUUUUAUACACUAUUAUUUAAUAGUAUCAGCGUAGUAAUAUUUAUCUAUUUUCAGGACUGCUAUUUUGCUAAAUAAUAAAAUUAUAUAUUAUUAUUGUUAUAAAAUCAAGCUCAUAAAAAUAUAAUUAUAAAGAGAAGAAGACUAGAGAAAUAUAUAGAAAAAGAGGAAUUUUCUUCUUAUUCAAGUGUAUAUUAGUCUCAUCUGUAUAUCAUACAACAGUGAAUGAUCAACCCUAUUUAUAGGUUGAGAAAUCACUCCAAAAGUCACCAUAUUAAGUAUCAUAAUAAAUAGAUACAUUCUUAUCCAAAAAGGUUCACGAAACCUAGUGAAUAUGGAUGGUUGUUCAUGUACUUACUUUAUGGAUUAUCCACUUAUUCAAUGGAUUUAUAACACUCCCCCUUGGAUGUCCAUAGAUAUUGUGCCUCGUUAAAAUCUUACUAGGAAAAACUCUGUGGGAAAAAAUUCUAGUGAAGGAAAAAGUGUACACAUAUCUUUUGAUAUACACUAUUUGUUGCCUCAUUAAAAACCUUGCCAAGAAAACCCAGUGAGAAAAAACCUCGGUCAAGGGAAAAAGAGUGCAAUGCGUAUUAUACUCCCCCUGAUUAAAACAUCACUUAAUUUCUUGGGAUGAUGUCUCCAAUCUUCGUACAUUGUGGUUGAUAUAUUCAUUUUCAAAUAAAAAUCACACAUUUUCUAAAUAUGGUGUGUCAUUUAUCUCAACCAGACGCACUUUCGACUUGGUUCAUGGAGGGAUUUUAUUUCUGCAUAACAACAUUUGCUUCAUUGAUCGCCAUGAUAUUAUUGUGCCUUCACAUGCAAACACAUAGCGUGCUUGAGAUAGAGCUUUAUGCGGAUCAAAUAAAUAUUCUGCAUCUGUUUAACCAAUCAAUUUGUCUUGGAUUCCUCGGAAUAGAAUAAACCGAUAACUAUGGUCCUUCAAGGAUAUUCAAUCAUUUGCUCAACACCAUUUCAAUGUCCUUUUAUCUGGGAGAAACUAAAUCUUGCCAGUAAAUUUACUGCAAAACAAAUUUCUGGUAAUAUUGUUAGCAAAAUGCACUAGUACCUGAUUGAACAAAGAUAUGGAGUUUCAUCAUCAAGAAGCAUUUCACUUGGCCAAUCAUUUAUCUGUCCCACUCUAUGAUAGAUUUGAAUUCAAGAUCCUCGUCACAAUUUAUAUCAUUGAGUUCUACCUUAUAUCAAAGACACUGUCGAUGGUUAUUUGAUAUCGAUUCCAACAAGACAUAACUUAUCGAGACCUCUUCAUUUUUCUUCAUUUUUCAGAUACCUGAACCUUUUCCAAGGUUUUAUGAAGUGUUAUGUCAAUGUGCUCUUUUAUAGCACUUGCCUCAUUAUCAUGACCAUAUUGAUAAUUUGCUACUUCCUUAUUCAAGGAAUUUUAUAUUUGGAACGGAUUGGUCUAUUACACUUCUGGCGUAUCAUAGACUCUGUCUUUCAAGGACUUCACAUUGGAGCAUUUGCAGCUGAAUUAUUUCAUAGGGUCAGUACAUUCAUCUGGCAAUUGAUUUUCAAAGUUAUGCAAAUGAAUUAUCCUUUGAACUAUAUUUAGCGAGGAUCUAGAUAAUUCAUAAUAAACCUGACACAUAAUUUUCAGUUGUCAGUCAUCUCUCCCCAUAAUGGUAGCAAAUCUAACAUUCAUCCCAACCUUAUUUGGGAAUUCAUCUUUGUGCGUGGUAGAGCAAUUAGAUCAUAACCACACAUUUAACCUUUUAGAUGAAAAUUAUUUGGUUCCUGACCCUGAACCAAUUUUAAUGGGGAAACCUUGUUUGGCUUGAUGCAUACAUGUGUUGAUACAUGUUAAUUAUCUCAUACCAAAUCUUAUUUGGGAGUUUUGUUCUCAUAACCAUGAUUUAGAUAUAAUUGGAGGCAUACAAUUUCUACUAAAUCAACCAGCAUUAUCAAUAUAAUUUCAUAGUUUGAAACUGUGCUCUUAAUUUAACAAUUCGAGCAAACAACCUUACAAACACCAAUUUGUAAGUUGACGAUAAAACACAUGUGACCAUAGCAUAGAUGCAUCUAUCAUAUAGUUGCAGAUGAUCCACAUGGAAGGUGAAUGGAACCAUAUUCACCUUUUUAUAUGUUCCAAAAAUUUCAGGGGAUUACAAUCCCAACCUUAGCUAGUAUAAUGAAAACAAACAAUACAAGAGAAUACUUGAAGAAUCUUUUAUUUCUUCAUCACAUAAGCCACACAAAUUCUCAAUUACAUUUGCAUCACAUUUAAAUCAGAAUGGUCAACUGAUCAUGCCAACUGAUCUUUAUUUCAGUACACUUAUAGUUUACUUUUGCAUGUGAUUCCACCAGCAUGCCCAUGUUUGUGUGCAACAAACACGAGGAAAAAAUGGGUAAUAUUUAUAACCCUCUUCGAUUGUAGUAAUUUAAAGAUAUUAAAUCUUUUCAUAAUUUAUAAUCUCAAUAUUUCUUUUCAAUCCAUCCGAAACUUAAAAAGUUUCUUUUGAGACUUACUACAACCCAAUAUUAUUCCUUUGAUAAUAGUUAACUCCUUAGAGCUUGCAAUUUAAUUUUGUGUACUAUCACAUAUUCUUUGACACCAUCCCCAUGGUGAGCAUCUCCUUCAAGGAGGAGAUUAUAUUAUCAUUGUCAUGGUCAAAAUCAUUACGAGCAAGACAUGUUUCUUGCUUUACUUUUGUUGUACUAUAGGUACACAACCAAUGACAAAUUUUUAUUGCCACACAAUAAUGACUACAACCCUUAUAGGGAAGAACUAUUUCUUUCUUUUGCCUUUUCGAUAGUUUACAAUAAACAUACCAUAGUGACGUAUAAACAUACAAUACCAUUAACUAUUUUUGGCAAAUAAAAUUUAUUUCCUCUUAAACCUCCCGUAGAGGUGAAUUUUGGUAUAUAUAAUUUUUUCUCAAACCUCCCAUAGAGGUGAGUUGUGGCAUAUAUUCAACCCAUAAUGAUCUUAUCACAUCUUGACCCAUUCUCUUAUAGAAUGGUCGAGCAUUCACGAUACUCAUCACAAGUCACAUUCUCUUCAAGGAAUGGACUAAUCAUUUAUAUUUUACUUCAUAAAUUUGCAUUAUAAGUAUAUUGUCAUGAUUUUAAAAUUCAUCAUAUUUUCAUGAUACACCUCACAUCACUUUGAAAGAUCAAGUGUAUCAUCACUUUAUAUUCUUGUCUUUUGAUGGAGAAUUUAUAAACUUGUCUAAUUAUUGGGUCGACAACAUUCACAAGUCCAAUGUCCUUUCAUACCAUUUUGAUAGUGAAAACUGCCUUCACAUUUGGAAGGACUAUUUGGAAAACCCAUAGUGUUCUUCUUUUUAUAUUUACCACAAUGAUGACUAUUAUAAUUCCGUCCCUUCAUGCCCUUUUUCAUAUCGUUAAUCAUUUGUCAUAUUUCAAACUAAUUAUUUACUGCUACCACAUUCAUACAAUAUAAUGGAGCAAGUCAACAUCAUAUUUUAAAGUUAUCAUAUGUUGCUACCACAUUCUUUUCAAGGAAUGGAGCAAAUUCAAUGGGACAAAUUUCAAGGCUUUUCAUCAAAAAUAUAUUAUUUUUCUUAGUCAUUAUUUUAUCAUUGCUAUGGUGCAUUGGCUCAAACUCAAUGUCUUACCCAUAUAAGGCGUGUUACGCCAUAAUUUUAUAGGACUUGAACCCAAUCAUGGUGCAUCAAAACUCAAAUUGAUGUCUUACCCUUUUGGUGCGAUAGAACUUGAAUCUAUCGUCUUAUCCUCAAAUAUUUUUCAUUAUGGUGCAUCUAGACUUUAACCUGAUGUCUUACCCUUUUGGUGCGAUGAAACUUGAAUCCACCGUCCUACCCUUAACCAACGGUAUAAUAGACCGAAGUACAACAUGACUUACCCUUUGAGUCUUUCAAAACAAUCAAAAUAAUAUUCAAACUCAUGCUACUAAAAUUUUAUACCUUCUUCCAUUUAAGAAGUUUUAUAUAGCAUGUCAUAUUCAACCAAUAGUUGUAUAUGCCUUUGGUUCCUGAUAGUUGUUAGUGAUUGAAUACUAUUGUAUUCUAAAUCAUAAAAAUAUUUUAGAAAAUACAUACCUGAUUUUAUGCAUAUAAUACCUUGAUUCUCAUAACGAGAUCAACCAAAAUAUGAGUUAAAGAAAAACUUAAACUCAAUUUUAAUUGGAUAAAGUUUCGUGAUGAUAACGUGUUAUAAAAUCAAGCUCAUAAGAAUAUAAUUAUAAAGAGAAAAAGACUAGAGAAGUAUAUAGAAGAAGAGAAAUUUUCUUCUUAUUCAAGUGUAUAUUAGUCUCAUCUGUAUAUCAUACAACAGUGAAUGAUCAACUCUAUUUACUGGUUGAGAAAUCACUCCAAAGUCACCAUAUUAAGUAUCAUAAUAAAUAGAUACAUUCUUAUCCAAAAAGGUUCAUGAAACCUAGUGAAUAUGAAUUGUUGUUCAUGUACUUACUUUAUGGACCAUUCAAUCAUUCAAUGGAUUUAUAAUAAUUAUGGUUAAGUUUCAAUUAUUUUCCCAUCAAUCUAAGAAGUUAUGACAUAAAAUAUGUGUCUUAAAAUUACUGAUGGUAUUGAAGAUACUGAUGUUGCUGCUACCCUGACUGAUAUUGUUUAAGUCAUUUUGCCGGAGGCUUAUGAUAAAAAAAAUUACAGGUAUGUAAUAGUCAUGGUUACAAGUUCAACGCAAAUAAUAAAACCUUCAUGAAAAUACACCUCAAUGCAAAAGAAUAUUUAAAAGAAAUGAUAAUUUCACUAAGUAAAAAAUAAGUUUGGCUAAAAUGGAUGAGAUUAUUAUUGCAGUCAUUUCAGAAAUAAUUGUUAUGACCAAUGUAAGAACGUGGGUGAUAAACUGUGGUGCUACUAGACACAAUUGUAUAAAUAAAAAUGAUUUUGUCACAUACACCCAAGUUGAGAAAGGAGAAGAUUUAUCUUGGUAACUCAAUGACAACUAAAAUUCUUGGAAAAAAAAGUUCUUCUCAAACUUACAUCUGGUAAAAUUUUGGCAUUGAGUGAUGUACUGCAUGUUCCUAAUAUCUGAAUUAAUUUGAUUUCUGUGGGAUUAUUAGGAAAAUGUGAAAUAAAAGUUUCUUUUGAAGGUGAUGAGAUCAUAUUGACUAUAUUAAUAUUUUUAUGGGCAAUGAAUUUUGUAACUAUGAUUUAUUUGUGCUUAAUAUUUAUGAUAAUUUCAGUAAAAUUGUAUCUAUUUCUGCUUAUAUUAUUAAGCCCAUUUCAUUAUGGCAUUCUAGAUUGGGACAUGUUGAUGUCUCAUCUAUAAAGAAUAUGUAAUCUCUUGAUUUAAUACAUGAUUUUGAUUUAAAUAAUUGUGAUAAAUGUGAAAUAUGUGUUGAAACUAAAAUUACUAAAAAGUCGUAUUUUUCAGUAAGUAGAGAAACUGAAUUAUUAUCUUUCAUCCACACUGAUUCGGGUGAUUUGAAACAAAUUAUGAUUAUAGGUGAGAAAAGAUAUUAUGUGACUUUUAUUGAUGAUUUAUCAGAUUUACUAAGUUAUAUUUGCUUAGAAAUAAAGAUGAUGAAUUUGAUGUUUUUAUUGCUUAUAAAUUUGAGAUUGAAAAUCAACUUAGUACAAAAAUCAAGAGAAUAAGAUCUGAUAGAGGUAGAGAAUAUAUAUCUUUAAAUGUUUUAUGUGAAAAAGAAUAAAUUAUUCAUGAAAUAAUCCCGCCUUGUUCACUCAAGUCUAAUGGAGUAACUGAAAAGAAAAAGGGAAAAUAGCCAAGUACCCCCUCGACCUAUGUCCGAAAUCCCAGAGACACACUUAUACUAUACUAAGGUCGUAUUACCCCCCCUGAACUUAUUUUAUAUGUAAUUUUCUACCCCUUUUUAGCCUACGUGGCACUAGUUCAAAAAAAAAAGUCAACUGUCGUUGGGCCCACAAGAUAGUGCCACGUAAGCUAAAAAGGGGUAAAAAAUUAUUAAUAAAAUAAGUUCAGGGGGUAAUAGGACCUUAUUAUAGUAUAAGUGUGUCUCUGAGAUUUCGGGCAUAGGUUGAGGGGGUACUUGGGCAUUAUCCCAAAGAAAAAAAGAAAAACAAAACUUUGAAAGCAAUGAUACAUUUCAUGAUAAUUAAUUCUAAUGCUCUUGGAUAAUUAUGGGGUGAAGCUAUAUUCUCUGCAUGUCAAUUACAGAAUAUAAUUCCUCAUAAAAGAACUGAUAGAACUCCUUGUGAAUUGUGGAAAGGUUACAGACCUAAUUUGAAAUAUUUAAAAGUGUGAAAGUGCCUUAUUAAAGUUCUGUUGCCUGAACCUUAGAAGAGAAAAGAGGUUCUAAAACUGUUGAUUGCAUGCAUAUUGGAUAUACUGAAAAUUUUGUUGCAUAUAGAUUUCUUGCGUUGAAAAGUGAUGUACUUGAUUGAAAUACUAUUAUUGAGAGAACAGAUGCUGGAUUUUUUGAACAUUUUCACUGUAUAAUAAAACUUCUCAUGCACAUGUUAAAAGAAAUAAUGAGAAUUCCUCUAAUAUUGAGGAACUGCGAAGGAGCAAAAGCUAGAAAAUAAAAAAAAUUUUUCUUAUGGAAAUAAUUUCCGAACUUUUCUUGCUGACAAUGAACCCUUAAAUUAUUUUGAAGUUAUAUCUUCUUCGAAGGCAAUAAAAAUGAAAAUCAAUUUAAUUAUGAAAAAAGAUAUAGAUUUUAACUGACUUACCUCCUGAUGCAAAGCCUAUUGACUGUAAAUUAAUUUUCAAAAAAAACUUAAUCUUGAUGGAUCUAAAUAAAUAUAAAUCUAGGUUAGUAUCAAAAGAUUUUUCUCAAAAACAAAAUAUUGAUUAAGAAAAACCUACUUUCAAAAACGACGAUAUUAUUUACUAUUAAUAAUAUAAUACAUUGACAAUAGCUAUAAAUUUAAACCUAAAGCUUGAACCCGAGCUCUGAGCUGAAAUACUUUGGAUCACCACUAGCAUCCUGAAAAUUAGGAGAGAAAACCAUGUGUAGAGAUGUUAUUAAGUUAAAAAAAUAUUGCAUCCCUCUUCUUGUCCCUACAUUGUGGAUAUGCUUCACAAAGCUUGACAAAUAAGUGAGAAAAUCAUCAGCCAACUUGACAACUCCCAGAUCCAUGAAGACUUAGAUUCCCAUCAGAGUUAUGCAACAAAGAAAAAAGGACCUCUUAUGAACAAUAGGCACAACUCUCAAUAGUAGGAGUUCUGCAUUCCAUGUUAAGAAAGAAAAAGGACUAUAACCACUACUUCACUACCUAUUGCAUCAGCUUAUUUUCAGCUACUUCAUGGUACCCAUUCAUAUGUAUAGUCGAAAAGAAGUUGUUCUAACAAUUCUAUAAGCCAUGUUUGCUAUGGUAACAAACCACACAUGUGUAUCGUCUCAAGAACAAGUCAAUGUAAGAAAUACAAAGCUUCACCCAAAACGAAUAGAAUAUAAAUUAAUAAAACAACACAAUUAUAUUGUCUUGAACUUAAACAAACAAUCUUUCUGAAUAUUAUAACAAAGGUCACAAUUGUUUUUUCUCCUUUUUACGCAACAGUAGAAUAGAUGACCCACUUUCAAUUCCUAAUUUUACUAGUAAUAAUGUCCAACCAUUGACAAAAGCUAUCAAUGUAAAGCUAAAGCUUGAAUGUAGAUAUUUCACAUGUACUAUAUGUCCAAACCUUCCUUCGCCUACAUGAAAGUAGAAGAGAGAUAGUAACUUGCAAAUCCUGAAACUUAGAUUGCUCAAUAUAAAGUAAAAAAGGAACGUCUCAUUACCCUUGACCUAACGAUCGGGAAAUCCAAAGAGUUAUGUAGGCGACUUGAAAAUAUUCGUUCUCGACAUUCUUGAAUGAAAGAAUAAUAUAGUACAUGACGUGUUUGAUUCUAUGUCCAUUAACCUUGAGAAUCUCAUUAUCCACAUAAGAAGUGGCCUAAAGAAUACACAAUCAACUUUCUAUAGAUGAAAACUAGAAAGACAAUGUGUUAAAUAAUGACAAAAAGUUCACAUCGGUGAUUAAUAAGAUGGGUGAAUUCCUUAUAAGUCUUGGACAAUCCUCCUCUCUUUGAGCUAAUUUUUGGGACGUGAGUUAAGCCUAAGAAUUAAUUCAACAUGGUAUCAGAGCAUGACCCGUCUCACCCGAUGUUGGGAUCUCCGAAAUAAAAAAUUACCCACGCACCAAAUGCUAAGCACUGGGCAUGAGGUGUGAUGUUAAAGAUUGACAAAAGUCCCACAUCGAUGGUUAACUUGAGAAAUCUCUGAGUUAUGUGUAAGACCUAAUUCAACACAAUGUGGCUAGAGCAUACCAAUUUUUCAAUGUCCGUCUAGCAAAACCAACAGAAUAGGAAAUUUCGAAAUCCAACACUAAAAAUUAUUUUCGGAAAAUAUUUUCUACUCACCAACCAAUAAGAUGAAAAAAAGAGAUUCCAAAAUCUACUUAUUUUCAAGGAAAACAUUUUCCAUGCAAAACAUUUUCCUUGAUACCAAACACACUCUUAGUAACUUGCAAAUGUUGAAACUUAGUCAUUAAUCAAUAUAAAGUAAAAAGGAAUGUCUCUUAUGUACCCUUGUCCUAACGAUUGGGAAAUCCAAAAGAGUUAUGAAGGCGAUCCACCACCUUUUAACUUUAAAAUAUUCGUUGUCGCCAUUGUGUGUUUGAUGUUAUGUCUAUUAACCACAUAUGAAGUGUGUUAUUUGUAGUUUUGAUGAUGUAACAAACUCAGGGACCUUGUGAAGGUACCCGGUUCUCAACUUGAACAGUUCGUUGACUGCCAGCUGGAGAAGGUACAAAAAGUUGGUGCACAGUUCCCAACUGCGUCAGAAAAGUCAGACCUUUCCAACCAAUGACAUGAGUUUAAGGAAAGGGACUUGUCUAUACAAUGUCAUAUUUCUAAACAUGGCUCUUUAGUUUUUGCAACUUGAAAAAAGGUACAUUCAAGAACUCUUGCAAUCGCUAAAGAAAAUCAAAGAGAAGAAUCAUUCAAGAACAACCUAAACUCAGGCGUAUAUUGUAUAGUUGUUUGAGAAUAUAUUCUUUCGGUCUUACAUUGUAAACUGAUCCUAAAUCAAUAAAGGAAUCAGUGUGGUUUGUGUUGAAAUUCUAAGUUGUCUAGAGUGAUAGCUUAGUGGGUAGAAUAACUUCUACUUAGUCUCAUCAAGCAAUAGAGUUAUUGCUUGUUGGUGAGAUUAAAAACUUUUUUCUCACAUUUGUGUAACCGGUGUUACUUUUCCUUGCAAAGAUUAGUGAAACGGUUGUGAAAAUCCUGUGAGACAGGUCGUGGUUUUACUUCCUUGAGAAAGGAGGUUUCCACGUAAAACUCCUCUGUUGUUAAACUGCAUUUACUUUCUGUUAUAUCUUUAUUUGUGUGUCAAGAAACCUGGUCCAUUGACUGAUAGUGGACGCACAUAUUCUUACAAAGUGUCGUAAAAGAAUACACAAUAUAAUGAGCUUUCUAUAGAUGAAAACUAGAAAUACAAUGUGACUAGAGCAUACUUUUUUUCAUUGUAUGCUGAAUUUCCGUCUAGAAAAAUCCUUCAUCUUUUCCAUGAAUUCAGGAUGUUGUAAGUAGCCUUGCGUAGGAAAUAUGGAAGUCAUUGGAGCCGAACCAGGAUAAUCUUUGAUGUCAAAUCCCUAUUAGAGACAAACAUAAAUCGAGUCCUCAAUCUUAACAAUCAGCAUAGCAGAAGAGGAACUUUCGAAAUCCAAUCCAAAUCACUUUACCAUUCAAAUCAUAUGACGCUAGACAUCCACACAACAAAAAUUAAAAUACCAAAUCUAUUGCUGUUUUUGCGAUAACACUAAUUUUAUGUAUUCUAGUAUAUCCGAUGGUAAUUAUCGUAACUGGACUAACCCUAAACAAUAAUAAUAGUAUAAUAGUAUAGUAGAGAAGAGGGAGAAUUGAGAAAUUGGUACCUCCUUGUCAUGGAUUUGUUCAAAAUAUGUUAUCCUGCAAUCUUUAUCAGCGGUUAUAGCACCACUAGAGUAAGGGAGAUAUAUAUAGACCCGUUACGGCAUAUCACAUUCUAAAGAAUUAUCUUCCGACUUGCUAGAUUCACAUCUUUUUCUUUCAACAAAUCCAAUUCCUCCUCAUCCGAGUAAACAAAUUUGUUGCCACCUCCGACUGUUACCAAAGGCUCCGGCUACAACGAUUUUUGACGUCAUCUGAUUCUUCGUGCUCCGGAAUGGGACUGCCGGCAUGACUACGGAUUAAUAGUUUAUGCACCAGAAAGAAGCUCUGUUGUAUCUGAUGAAACCUUACCCCAGAACAAGAACCAGGUUCUUGUAAGUUGCUUUUAAGUAAAGACACAAACACUUAUUGAAUUAAAAACCAUCCUCACUCAAGGAAGGAAAAACCUCGUUUUAUUAAUUCAACUAUAAUAUUUUGUGAUUACAACUCAAUAAUAAAAAGUCUUAUCUCUACUACCUCUCUCGAUUGACUCCAAUCGUUCUCACCAAAAGGCCAAACCCACCUUUUGUUACAACUCUCACUAACACUCAACUCUACAAAGAGCCAAACCCACCCUUUGUACAAUAAACUGUAAACUACAAUCAAGAUCAAAACAAGAAAAUAGUUCUACACAUUAAAAACCUUCUCACUCAAGAACGUUUUAAACGUAGCAAACCUAUCGAUCUUGAAGACUUCAGUUUAAUGAAUAAUUCUCACUUUUCUCUCUAUGUGAAGUCGUGGGAUUCUUCAACUGCAUCGUCCUAUUCUUAUAGAGUUUCUUUUGCCCUGUACAAUCCUUAUCAGAUAAGGUAAGGAAGUUAUUGUUAAACAAGGAUUCCCUUUUAAAGUGCAAUCCUUAUUAUGUACAACUUCCUUCCUUAAAUAAUAUAUUUAAGGUUUUCCUUAUUUGUAUGAACUUAUACCUUUAAUAUAUUAUUUUUGGCUUUGACAAAUAACUCUAUUUUCUUGAUUACUUAGCUGACCCAUUUUACUCAAUCUUGGACUUCGAGCUUGGCUUCUUUUGCUGCGUACAUUUGCCACUUAUUCUUUGCGCUUCUUGUCUAUCAUCAAAACAUGAAUUAUCGAUUCUAUCAUAUUCCCCCUUUUUGAUGAAGACAAACAAAUAUUUCUGUGUGAUGCAUGCGCAAAUACUUCCCCUUUUUGACAAAUAAAAAAGAAUCCAACAGCGGCUAAACAAACCCAAUCAACAUCCAUAACAACAAAAUGAGCCCAGCCAGUUGAGCAUAAUAAAAUGUUCUGGCAACAAAACAAAGAGUAACAACACAGAGUUUAAAUAACUAAGAGAACCAGGUUCAAACAAGAUGCUUUUUCAGUGUGAAGGUUGACCAGGCUUUGUUGAAGCAGAAGCCAGCAUAUCCAAAACUCUAUCAACUCUUGUAUUGUUAGCAAGUUGCUGCUGCACCAACUGAUCCUUCAACCUGUGUAUUUCAGCAUUUGAAGUGUCAAAUUCAGCACGUAACUUCUGGUUUUCUAACUCAAGAGUGGCAUACUUUUCUUCAGCUACUUUAAGUUCCCUGAGUAACUGAGCAACAGGACCAGAUGUACGUGGAGACGCAGUUGCAACCUGCUCCGACUCCAUGGGAAUGCCACAAUCAGCAAGGAUGGUUUGAGUGAACAUAUCUGCAUGAGUUAAAAUCCUGCCUUCUCCCAAUGGUACUUCAAAUGCAUCAAACACUCUUGUUACCAGAUUUCUAUAAGCUAACUGAUGAGAACCUACUUUAGGAUCAACAAUUCUAGCAAAAUGUUUGAUAAUCAGUGUGGGCCAGUCAAUGCGUUCUUUGCACUCAACAACAUUCAUAAGUCCCAUGUCUCUUAUGGAGGCAAUGUGACGUUGGUGACCUCUAGGCAGUAUCACCUUAUGAACUAUCUCGAAAAGAAGCUUAUGCAAAGAUCUCAUAAUGCCCUUUAAAACAGUUUGUGCCCUAGAAUUGACUCUACCUUGAGAGAAUUUGGCUGGCAAGCUAGAAUUUUCAUCGAAACCCCAAUUGUACUCAUUAAUUCCCACAGAUGGUAUAUGCAAGAUUUCCCCAAGUUUAGUUGCAUCAAAAACAAUGUCAACCCCCUUUACACUAGACGACACCACAUCUCCUUCUAGGAUUACCAAGUUUGUAUAGAAAUCUACCACUUCCUUUUCAUAAAUCAAAUUGGGUUCAAGGAAUAACUCCUCCCACCCCUGAAACCUUAGUAGUUCACAAACCUGCUUCACUAUAUCCAUUGAGAGUAUAUCAGGGUGAAAAGUUCUACCCCUAAGCACUGUUUUGGUUUGGAAGUACUUUUCUUUCCUACUUUGAGAAAUUUAUCUGCAUUUCUUUUUGCAGAUUUUGAUUGAGUAGUUGCAGAAUGUUUACCCUCAGAUACAUCAUCAGUUUCAAAAUCAAGAUUCAUUGGAGAAACAGAUGAACGAACAAGAGACUUACCUAAUUGUCGAUGCUUCACACUAGAGGUUGCAUCAUCAGUUAGUUUGACCACAUUCGCGCUCCUUUUCACUGACCUGUGUGGAUGAACCUGUAUAACUUCAAUGUGCUUUCUUGGCCGCCUUGGUUUUUUAGGGUGAAGGGUACUCAAAAGAAUAUCACCAUUGAUUGGAGAUGGUGGUGGAUUUUGAGAAGUGGUUUUAUGAGAUGGGAAAGAGGGGGGAUUAUUUGGGACAACGGUUGUGGGAGUUUCUGGGUUUGGUGAUAAUGGGGUUUCUUGGACUGGUGAUAAUGGGUUUUCUUGGACUGCUGGUGGUGGAGAUUCUAUGAUGGGUGGUGGUGGAGAUUUUGCAACUAUAGGUGGAGAUGCUUCUUUAACUGGUGAAGGUGGAGAUGUAGCUUUUGGUGGUGGAGAUGUAGACGGAUCUGAUUUGGGUGUAGAUGGUUUGGUUGGGAGUCGGCUUUCUUCCACUCGAUUAGGCACAUCAUCAACAACUGGGUUCUCUUCCCUCUGAGAAAAUGCACUAUCAGACGAGUUUUCGUCAUUUGAGUAAGCAACAAGUGGAUUAACCAUGGUGAUGGAGGAGAUUUCUUUUUCCUUUUUUUUUUGGAGAAUGAAGAUGAGAAAAAGUUGGUUGCUUGUUUAGAGAGAGUGCUUUAUUGGGAAUGGUUUUGAUGUUGUAUUCGAGGGGUUUGAGUAAUUAUGGGGGAUUAACAUCGAGGAGACGUGUGCUUUGACGAUUGCACCUGCUUUUCAGAGACGUGAGAUAGGAGAGAGAAGAUGGAAUUGUUUCCCCCCCCCCCCCCCCUUCAUUUUUUUUAAAAUUUUUGACAGCUAAGUAUGAAGCAGUUGUAGAACCAACUUGACUUAACCUGGUUCAUAUCUUCUUAGAACUUGGUUAGAUAGAAUUCAAUCUAAAAAGAAAAGCCCUAACUCAAGUCUAUUUUUCUGAAAUGACUCUCUUCCUAGUGCCUUGGUGAAGAUAUCAGCAACUUGAUCCUCAGUUUUGCAGAACUCAAUCACUAUGUUUCCUUUUUCAACAUUAUCACGAAGAAAGUGAUGUCUAACAUCUAUGUGUUUGGUGCAUUUGUGUUGAACUGGGUUUUUGACCAUGUUCAUAACACUUGUGUUAUCACAUAGAAUAGGAAUACAACCUGUUUCUAUACCAAAGUCUUUAAGCUGUUGUUUUAUCCAAAGAAGUUGGGCACAACAUGACGCAACUGCAACAUACUCAGCCUCUGCAGUAGAUAGAGCCACUGAAUUUUGUUUUCUAGUUGCCCAAGAUAUUAAACAUGGUCCUAAAAAGUGUGCCAUCCCAGAGGUGAUUUUUCUAUAAACCAUAUGUCCUUCAUAACCUGCGUCAGCAAAUCCCUUUAGAUCAAAAGAGUCACCAGUUGGAUACCAGAGAACCAGGUUCAUUGUGCCUUUUAAAUAUCUCAAGAUUCUUUUGACAGCUUUUAAAUGUGAUUCCUUGGGACAAGACUGAAACCUUGCACAUAGACCAACACUGAACACUAUAUCAGGUCUACUGGCAGUGAGGUAUAAGAGUGAUUCAAUCAUACGUCUAUAUCUAGUGUCAUUGACUGGUGAACCUGGUUCAUCUUUAUCAAGCUUUGUUGUUGUCCCAAUGGGUGUGUCAUUUGACUUAGCUUCAUUCAUAUCAUACUUCUUCAGUAAUUCCUUGAUGUACUUUUGUUGAUGAAUUGAUGUUCCAACUGGAGUUUGCUUAAUUUGGAGUCCCAAAAAGAAGUUUAACUCUCCCAUCAUACUCAUCUCAAACUCACUAUUCAUUAGUUGAGCAAAUUAUACUCCUAGAGUCAUUGGUUCCUCCAAAUAUGAUAUCAUCUACAUAUAAUUGGACUAUGAACAUAUAUUUACCUCGUUUUCAAAGAAACAGUGUAUUAUCAAUUUUUCCUCUUGUAUAUCUAUGUGUGAGAAGGAAAGUAGACAAUCGAUCAUACCAUGCUCUAGGUGCUUGUUUUAGCCCAUAGAGUGCUUUGUCCAGUUUUAUAUACAUGGUCAGGAUACAUGGUAUUCUCAAAACCUGGGGGUUGUUUUACAUACACCUCUUCUUGUAGGUAACCAUUUAAGAAGGCACUUUUGACGUCCAUUUGGUAGAGUUUGAACUCCAUAUGAGCAGCAUAUGCGACCAAUAUUCUAAUUGCUUCAAUUCUUGCUACUGGUGCAAUGGUUUAAUCAUAGUCUAUACCUUCUUCUUGGUUGUAUCCCUGUACAACUAGCCUAGCUUUGUUGCCCACUAUUUGUCCUUGCUCAUCGAGCUUGUUUCUAAACACCCAGCUAGUUCCUAUUACCGUCCUGUUUUGAGGUUUUGGAACCAGGUUCCACAUUCUGCUUCUUUCAAAUUGGUUGAGUUCUUCUUGCAUAGCACUAAUCCAAUCAGAGUCUAGCAGUGCUUCCUUUAUAUUUUUAGGCUCAAUCAGGGACACAUAGGCAGAGAAUGCGCACAUACUACAUAAUUUGGAUCUUGUAGAUAUGCCUGAGUUAAGAGGAGUAAGAAUGUUUUGCAAGGGGUGAGAGCUUUGAUGUUUCCAACUGUGAGUUGGAAUACUUACUGGUUCUUGAGGUGCAGACGGACCGGUAUCAUUAGUAGACUUAUCUCCUAUUUCAGAUGUUUUAUCAAAGGGUAUGGGUUCUUUUUCCCAUAUUUUUGGUUCUGAUGGCUUGGAGCAGGUUCCCUGAUUUUGUUCAUCCUCUAAAUUUCCUUCAACUUCACUAGUAUGUUCAUUAAAGACAACAUGGACACUUUCUUCUACACAGUUUGUUCUUUUAUUCAGUACCUUAUAGGCCUUGCUUUGUGAUGAGUAGCCCAGGAAAAUUCCUUCAUCACUCUUGGUAUCAAAUUUUCCCAAAUUGUCUUUGUCAUUGUUGUGUAUAAAGCAUACACACCUAAAGGCCCUAAGAUGUGCUAAAUUUGGUUUUCUUUCUUUUAGCAGCUCAUAUGGUGUUUUGUUUAACACUGAUAUGAUCAUACAUCUGUUUAUUAGAUAGCAUCCUGUGUUUACUGCUUCAGCCCAAUAGAAUUUUUGAAGUUUGCUUGAAAUUAACAUUGUUCUUGCAAUAUCUUCCAGUGUUCUAUUUUUCCUCUCACCAACACCAUUUUGUUGUGGUGUUCUAGGUGCUGAGAAGUUAUGCUCAAUCCCAUUUGUAGUACAAAAUUGUAGGAAUUGUGAGUUCUCAAACUCUAGCCCAUGAUCAGAUCUGAUACUGAUUAUUUCUUUGUUGAAUUUCUUCUGAACCAGCUUUGCAAAGAUUUCAAACAUAGUGAAUGUCUCAUCCUUUGUUGCAAGAAACAAUGUCCAAGUGAAUCUUGAAUAGUCAUCAUCUAUUACAAACACAUAUCUUUUUCCACCCCUGCUUUGUACACGCAUUGGUCCACACAAAUCCAUGCGAAGCAGUUCUAGUGGCUUGGUAGUACUUACUGUCAACUUUGGUUUGAAGGAUGACCUAACCUGUUUUCCUUGAAUGCAGGUUCCACAUACUUGGUUGUCCCUGAAACUUUUGGUUGGCAGUCCCCUAACCAGGUCUUUAGAUAUGAGCUUGUUUAUAGUUGUCAUGCUAUUGUGUCCCAUUCUUUUGUGCCAUAGCAUGGAGCAAUCAGAGACUGAACUUAGACAUUUAAGAGUAUCUUCCUUGGAGUCAACAAUCUUGGCUUUGUACACAUUCUUGUGUCUCUUACCUAGUAGAAGCAGGUUCCCAGUCACUGAGUUUGUUACUCUGCAUUCCUUUUCUGUAAAGAGAACAUUGUUUCCUUUAUCACAUAGUUGAGAUACGCUCAAUAGAUUAUGUUGUAGGCCAUUCACAUAAUAUACAUUUUCAACUGCAUGAGUAUCCAUUGAUCCAACCUUUCCAAUUCCCUGAAUUUCCUCACUUUUUCCAUUACCAAAGGCAACGUUUCCUCCUUUGAUGUUAUUGAGUGAGAGGGAGCUUCUUUUAUCUCUAGUCAUGUGUCUGGAACAUGCACUAUCCAAGUAACAUUGUUGCUGCUUUCUCUUCACUGAUCCCUGCAAUUUAAUUUUGGGGAUUAGAUUUUGGUACCCAAAUCCACUUUGAUUUAUGCUUAGGGAAUGGGUGGAUAAGAUUUCUUCUGGCCCAUCUAGGAAGAGAUUUGACUGUAGGAAUUUGUUUUUGCUCAUUGGGUUUCUCAUGAUGAGGUUUUCUCAAAGACUUCAAGUUUUUGUUAUGAGCAGUUUGUUUUCUUUGACAAUCAUGAUUUUUAUGCCCUACUAGCUCACAGUGCAUGCAUAGACAAUCUAUGUUGGGAUUUUUUACUUGAGAGAUAGUUCUAUCAAAACCUAUCCCAUGUUUCUCAGAUGUGCGAUUCUUGUGAAUGUUGUCAAGCAGUAUGGAAGACUUGGUCCAUCUCAUUCCAUUUUCUUCUUCAGUUUUAGUCACAAGAAGCUCUUUGGAGAGUGCUUCAUUCCUUUUAGUUACCAAGUCUAGGUUUUUACUUAGUUCAAUAUUCUUUGAUAAAAGAUGAAGAUUCUAUUUUUCAAGAAUCUUGUUUUCUUCUCUUAGUGAUGCAUAGUCUUCCAUUAUCAAUUCCCUUUUUGAGUAUAUGGUUUUAUAUGCAUCAAUGAGAGUGUAGAAGAGGGAUUCUAGCUCCCUUUUUGAGUAUGAGCUAUAUUGUCUUGUAUGUGAUGAAGACUAACCUUUUCAUUCAUAUCUUCUUCUUCUUUAUCUUCUUCAGAAUCUGAUCCAGCCAUGAGUGCUAGUAUGGUUUCUUGUGAUCUGCAGGUUUCCUUUUCUUCCUUGGUUUCCACUACUACAAGAUCAAGAAAGUCAUAAUCAUCUUCUUGUUCUAGUGCAAGAAGGGACUGGUUUUCUGUCUCAUCACGCUCAGACUCUUCAUCAGAUGAAUUCCCCAUUGUUGCGAAGACCCUUUUCAUUGAAAUAUCUGCCUCUUGAGUUGUCAUUCUUCUGUUUGAAGGGACAAACUUAUCAUUCUUGAUGUCUUUGCCAUUCUCAAAGUUUGUAUUUUUCUGAUCUAAAGCCCAAAGUGGACAAAAUUUGAUGAAGUGAUCUGGGCUCCCACACUUAUGACAAACCUGGUCUUUUUCAGAUUUUUUUUGAGAAGUUUUCUUUUGAAAGGCCUGUCCUCUCUUCAGCAUUCUGGUGAACCUUUUGGUUAUGAGGGCAAUAUUUUCAUCUUCAAAAUCAUCUGAUGUAGUAGCCUUUAGAACCAGGUUCCUUUCCUUCCUUUUUCCUCCAAUUUCCUUUUCUUGGUUUUUCUUGAGUUCAUAUGUGAUGAGAUUACCAAUCAACUCAUCCAUGGCCAGUGAGUCUAGGUCGCGGGCUUCAGUGAUAGCCUCGACUUUGCUUUCCCAAGUUUCAGGAAGGACACUCAAGAGUUUCCUUACCACCUUUCCAUUAGGAACUAUCUCUCCCAAGGAGUACAUCUCAUUUAUGAUGGAGGUGAACCUGGUGUGCAUGUCUUGAAUAGUUUCCCCCUCUGCCAUCCUGAACAACCCAUAUUGCCUGUUUAAGUUAUCAAUUUCAGACUUCUUGACUUGUGUUGUUCCUUCAUGAGCGGUUUGUAGUGUUUUCCAUAUGGCUUUGGCAUCUUGACAAGAUGAGAUUCGAUUGUAUUCAUCUGGUCCUAUGCCACAGAUCAAAAUUUUCUUGGCUUUGGCAUUGUUUUGGAUUGCAAGCUUGUCUUCGGCAUUCCAUUCUUUUCUUUCCCGUGGGAUUUUGGUGAUUCCAUCAGUUGCAGUUUUCAUAGGUAUGGUUGGUCCAUCUAGAAUUACUCCCCAUAGAUUAGGGUUUUCGCCAAUAAGAUGGUCCAUCAUACAAUUUUUUCACCAUCUAUAAUAUUUGCCAUUGAACAGUGGUGUUCGUGUUUGUGAAGCUCCCUCUUGUGGGGUAGGUGGUGCUGCCAUUGAGUCUUUUUAAGGUGUGAAUCUUUUAUCGAAAAGACCUGCUCUGAUACCAAUUGAAGAAACCUUACCCCGGAACACGAACCAGGUUCUUGUAAGUUGCUUUUAAUAAAGACACAAACACUUAUUGAAUUAAAAACCUUCCUCACUCAAGGAAGGAAAAACCUCAUUUUAUUAAUUCAACUAUAAGAUUUUGUGAUUACAACUCAAUAAUCAAAAGUCUUAUCUUUAUUACCUCUCUCGAUUGACUUCUAUCAAUCUCACCAAAAGGCCAAACCCAUCUUUUGUAACAACUCUCACUAACACUCAACCCUACAAAGAGCCAAACCCACCCUUUGUACAAUAAACUGUAAAUUACAAUCAAGAACAAAACAAGAAAAUAGUUCUACACGUUAAAAACCUUCUCACUCAAGAACGUUUUAAACGUAGCAAACCUAUCGAUCUUGAAGACUUCAGUUUGAUGAAUAAUUCUCACUUUUCUCUCUAUGUGAAGUCGUGGGAUUCUUCAUCUGCAUCGUCCUCUUCUUAUAGAGUUUCUUUUGCCUUGUACAAUCCUUAUCAGAUAAGGUAAGGAAGUUAUUGUUAAACAAGGAUUCCCUUUUAAAGUGCAAUCCUUAUUAUAUACAACUUCCUUCCUUAAUAAUAUAUUUAAGGUUUUUCUUAUUUGUAUCAACUUAUACCUUUAAUAUAUUAUUUUUGGCUUUGACAAAUAACUCUAUUUUCUUGAUUACUUGGCUGACCCAUUUUACUCAAUCUUGGACUUCGAGCUUGGCUUCUUUUGAUGCGUACAUUUGCUACUUAUUCUCUGCGCUUCUUGUCUAUCAUCAAAACAUGAAUUAUCGAUUCUAUCAUAUUCUAUCAGUAUCUAUUGAGAGAAUCAAUUUAAAAUCAAAUAACCCCAAAUUAUAUACUCUCUUCAUUUUACAAAAAAUGAUUUAAUUUGAUUUGACACGGAGUUUAAAAAAAUAAAGAAGAAUUUUGAUUAUGUGAUCCUAAAUUAAAGUUAUGUCAAAUGUACGAAAUUGCCCUUUAAUUUUGUAGUCUUAAACAUGCCACGUGCAAAGUUAUUACCAUAAAAAAAGAUCAUUCUUUUUUGAACAGACUAAAAAAAUAUGAGAUUAUAUAUAUAUAUAUAUAUAUAUAUAUAUAUAUAUAUAUUACUUUACUUGUUAAUUCUCUCUUAUUUAUGAAUGACACUUAUGGUGUACCAAUACGACAUAAAAGAGUUGUACCAAAAGUAAUCUAAAUUGUAACCCUCUUAUACUUAUUUAGAAUAUGUAGAAAAUAAGAAAUGACACUUAUGGUGUACCAAUAAAGCAUAAAAGAGUUGUACCAAAAGCAAUCUACAUACAUAGUAAGCCUUAUAAGCCAACAAGGGAAAGUACUAAACAACUUUAAAAAGUUUUACCAAGAGAAUUAAAAAUUGUACUAUAUCACUGAGCUCUAUUACUGAUAAAUAAACACGUGUACAAUACAUGCUUCAUACGAAAUGCUAUUUUGAUUCUUUGUCGUUUUCAAGUUUAAUUAGUUUUUUCAUUCCACAUAUUCUCACUUUUGGUGGAGAAGGAGAAGAACAGACUUUCAUAUGGAGGUAUGUCAUUUUCCGAGAGUAAGAGCAAGUUGAUGGAAAAUUAGAGGAGAGUGAAUACGAGUUUCGAGCUGGUGCGUCAAUUUGGUAAUGAAAUUUUAUAUUUGGCCAUGGCUAUCAAAAUUGGAGGUAAUUUUUUCAUUCUAAUCAUAAUUUUUUGGAUUUCCCUUCCACUUUUUGGGUUUAAUUAUUUUAUUUUUCUGAGUUGUUGAUGUUGUCUUUUACUUCGAAUGUGUUUUUGACGUGGAAUUUGAAAAAGUUACAGGUUCUCCAUCACUAUAAAUUGAGUGCAACUAAGACUGAAAGAGUGUGAAGUAUAAACUCACCAAAAACCUUGUGAGCUUUUGGUGCUCUUUCUUUACCUGAUUUUGCACAUGCAUGUACUAAUUCACCAUUUUGUUUCGAUUUCAUAGGUGUAUAUGGUAUUAGGAAGAAUUCAAUGAAAAUACGGUUAAGACUAUGAAUAAUAUCCCUAAAGGUUAGUAUUACAUGUCAGCCGAUAGACACUUUUGGUGAUUUUUCUGCCCUUUUUUUCUUCGUAAUAUUGUGUCAUUGUUAAGUUUUUGUAUUUCUCACCUUUGAGAUUCGUUAUUUUUUUCUGUUAUAUAUUCUCGGCUUAUUAUUAAUUAAAUAAUUCUUGAUUAGAAUCUAUUUGGUUCAUUUGUAUUCUCGAUUAGUCGAGUUGAAUUCGAUCAAUAUGCAUUUCUCAAUAUUAAUAUACAAAUUUUGAGAUGCAACACAAAUAUUUUGCAUUCUCGCAAGUCACAGGGAGAAAAAGUAUCAACUUGAGGAGAAUCUGAUGCACAGUUCAAACAUUGAUCCUAAUUGAGAAAGAAAAGAAGUUGUAUCACAAACAUCCAAUCAAAAAAUGAUGUAGACUUCGUAGCUGAAUAUUAAUUAGGUAUCGACAUUACAAAACAUCUAUUUCAAUGCUUCUUUCGAUAAAGUAAUAGAUUUUAUAGAAAGAACAUCAAGAAGAUGCAAUUACACCAAUAUUGAACAUCUAUUGCAAUUUUUGAACAACUAUUAACUGGAUUGCAGCUAUAGGGGUGUAAAUGUGCACUUUUACGACAGAGCUUGUUGAGCAUAUGUUUGUGAGUGUGUCUUGACACACUUGGUGUGAUGAGGGCACAAAUACAUGCUUUGAAGUUAUAAACACCAACAAGUACAACUAUUUGAGCUAAUAUUCGUAAAAGCUUUUAUGUGUGGACAUGUUAAAGGAGAAACCUGAUAAAAUUUUAUACCAAAUUGUUUUCCCUUAAUUUUUAUCAGUAAAUGAGGCUAAGCUUUGCCACUAAAAGCUUAGUUAAAUGAAUAGUGAGAUAGUCUUUUGUAGUUUUACUUUACAUGAACGUAGAUAGUUAUUUGUCUUUGAUAAGCAUUUUUACUUUGUAAUAGUAAAACAAAUUGAUGCCAAAAGCAUAGCUACUAAAUAAUUUUAUAUAGAACAAAUUGAUGCCCAAAGCAUGACUACCGUUCCAAACUAUUUCAUACAUCUAAAAUAAGUUUUUUGACACACACAACUUGAUUUUUAAAAUUUUUUGAUUCUUAUACUCUCUUAUGUGUUGAAGAAGAUGUUUGACAAUAAAAGACAACAUUUAGAUAGAAAGAAGAUGAGUUUUAGGAGAGGAAUUUAUCACAUAUACAAACCCUCCAAAUAUAUAUUUUGCAAUUUUACUUGAUAUUGGAGUAGAAAUAUUCACUUCAGCUCUUUCUAACAUUUGAAUUGUUAAUUUGAAUAUUUGUAGACAAGUUCUCACUAGGUUUGAGCUGUUGGACAAAAUGAUAAUCACACUCAUGAUAAUGUCCAAAGUAUAUAGCAAUAGGAAGAGAGUAACAACGACAUCAAAUAUUAAAAUGGGUAAAUAUGAUACCCGUAUAAGUAAUACAAUAAUAUUGAUGAAAAACUUGGUAGUGUCAAAAGAUUACUACUCAACACUCUUUUAUUUCUUACAAUUCACAAUAAUAUUAUUUGCACACUAUUUUCUCGCAAAUUAAGAAAUAGUUUGUGGAUUACUCUCUCUACACUCAAUUGCUUCUCUAUUUUGUUGUGUCUUCAAGUGUUCAAUUGCUACUCUACUUAUAGAGUUUUUUAAACACUUGUUUACAUCAUUAAUGACAUAAUAUGGUAGACAGUUUAAAAAAAAAAUUGACUGCCUAACUCUAUCAACUUAUAUACCAAACAUUCACUACCUACUUCCACAAAUUUGGAUUUCAACUUUCACAUUGGUGGCUAACAAUUUUCACAUUCGUGGAUUGUAAUUUCAACAAGUAUGACUGUCAAAUUAAUUGUUGCCAAGAUUUUUUUCCACAAAUCUCUCAAUUUUGAUUUUUCUUCUUUACUCCAAGGCUUGAUCUCAAUCUCCAAAAAUCUUCAAACUUGAGAGGCUUUGUAAAGAUAUCUGCAACUUGAUCAUGACAUUUCACAUACUUGAGCUCUUCCUCUUUCUUGGCAAUGCAUUCUUGGAUAAAGUGAUACCUUGUGUCUAUGUGCUUGAUUCGAUCAUGAUACAUCGGAUUGUUUGCUAGUGCUUGCGCAUAUUUGUUAUCAACACAAAUCAUUGUGGCUUUAAUUUGUGACAAAUUGAGAUCCUUCAACAAUCUUCUCAACCAAAUAGCAUGACACGUACAUGAUGUGGCUGCCACAUAUUCAACUUCACAAGUCAAGAGAGUAACAAUUUGAUUUGUUUCUUUGAACUCAAAUAAAUAACACAAUCACCCAAAAAAAACACAAAACCUGAUGUGUUUUUUCUAUCAUCAACAUCUCCCACAUAAUCACUAUCACAAUAUCCCACAAGAUUAAAAUCAUCAGAAGAAGAAUAAAAUAGCCCAAGGUCGAUUGUACCUUUUAGGUAGCGAAGAAUUCUUUUAGUAACCUUCAAGUAAGUGGAGGUAGGAGAUUCCAUGAAGCGACUUACUGUUGCGAAAACGUGGACAACACCAAAAAUAUAUAUUACUAUAAUAAGUAAUUUUACACUGUAUAGUCACAAAUACAAUACUCAAAGUGAUUACUACACAAUCAAAAGAAACAACAAUCUUUUGGUAUCCACCUUACUAAAAUAUCGCUCACACUCUAUUUUUCUUCACAGACUAUUUUUCUUGUGUAUAUGGAAUACCUCACUUUGCUCUCAAAAUGAAUUUUCUCUCUAAUUUGGUGUAUACUAGAAAUGAUCAAGAAUGCUCUAUUAUAAAAGGAUAAAACCAUGUCUAUGUCACUAAUGACAUAUGUAAAUAUAGCAAUGUCAAAAAUAGUUGCAAAUCUUACCAAUUUGCCAACUACCAAAUCUUUUAUUUUUAACUCUAAUUACUAUUCCUUUUUAACAAUUAUUUGUAUCAAUUGAAUAGCAAAAGUUGACCAAAAAGUGGGAUGGACUCAACAAAUCUCCCCAUCCAGUCCCAUUCGCUCGAAGAAGGUAUCUUCAUCUUCUUUAGAAAGAGCUCAUACCUACAUGCUCUUUGCAUAACUCGAACUUGUCUUUCAAUAUCAUCUUGGUCAGUAUAUCUGCAAAAUUUUCACUUAUGUGGAUCUUUUUUACGUGAAAUAAUUCACUCUCCAUUUCCUCACGAAUCUAAUGAUAUCUGAAGUCGAUGUUUUUUGUUGUUAAAUGAUACAUGGAGUUCUUACUCAAGUCUAUUGCACUCUGGCUAUCACAAUCGACAAUAUACUCCAUCUGAUUCAAACCAAGCUCUUGAAGAAAUCGCUUUAGCCAUAUCAUCUCCUUGCCGGCUUCAGUAUCCACAAUAUACUCAGCUUCAGUUGUAGAUAGUGCAACACACUUCUACAACUUCGACUGCCAUGAUACAGAUCCCCCUGAAAAAGUAAACAAAUAUACAUUAGUGACUUUUAUGUUAUCAAGGUCACCUGCCAUAUCAGAAUCUGUAUAGCCUUUCAAGAUUGGAUUUGAUGCUUCAAAACACAAAUAUUCAUCGGAGAUUCCUCUAAGAUACCUGAGUAUCCACUUCACAUCUUCCCAAUGCUCUUUUCCCAAAUUUUUGAGAAAUCUGCUGACAACCCCAAAUGCAUGAGCAAUAUCAGGUCUAGUGCACACCAUUGCAUACAUUAGACUUACAAUGGUGGAGGAAUGUGAAACUUUGGCCAUGUUCACUUUUUCCUCCUAGCUGUAGUACAUAUGUUCUUGCUCAGCUUCAUCUGACCAACAAGAGGUGUACUAACAGACUUAACAUUCUUCAUAUGAAGCGCUCCAGUACACGUUUAAUGUACUUCUUCUAGGAUAAAUAAAUCUUCCUUUAAUCUCUGAGACGAGUAAUUCUCAUGCCCAAAAUUGCUUGGCAUGGCCCAAUUCUUUCAUAACAAAAGACUUAUGCAACUCUUUCUUCAUCUCGUCAAUCUUGAAAGUAUUCUUGCCCACAAUCAACAUAUCAUCCACAUACAACAAGAGGAUGAUAAAAUCAUCAGAAAAUUUUUGUUCAAAUACGCAAUGAUCUGAGGAAUUCUUCUUAUAGACUUGCUCCCCAUAACAAAUUCAAACUUCUUGUACCACUAUCUAGGAGCUUGCUUUAAGCCAUAUAGACUCUUUUUGAGUUUUCACCUAAAAUUUUCUUUACCUUCUACUUUGAAGCCCUCAUGUUGUUCCAUAUAAAUAUCUUCUUCUAGGUCACCGUGAAGGAAAACCGUCUUCACAUUCACUUGUUCAAUCUCUAAAUUAAAACUAGCAGCCAAACCUAGAACUGUGCGAAUCAGGUACAUUUUCACAACAAGAGAAAAUAUUUCGUCAAAGUCAAUACCCUUCAUUUGACCGAAUCCCUUCACACCUAAUCUAGCUUUGUGCCUGGGCUUCAAGUUGUGUUCUUCAACUUUAACUUUGAACACCCACUUGUUCUUCAAGGCUCUCAUGCCCUUAGGCAAUUUUACCAACUCAUAAGCGUGGUUCUCAUGCAAAGACUUUAACUCAUCUUGCAUGGCCUCAAUCCAUUGAUCCUUGUGCUCAUCUUCCAUGAACUCCUCAUAACAUUCAGGUUCUCUCCCGUCAGUGAGUAACACAUACUCAUUGGGUGAAUAACGGGAGGAAGGAAAUCAUUGUCUUGUGGACCUUCGAAGUGGAAUAUUUGAUCCGUCCACAACUUUAGGAGCAAUAGGAUCAUCAAUAACAAUACCAUUGUUAUUAUCAACAUCAACAUAUUGAUUCCAUACAUGAUUCUAGGCGUCACCAUGAUUAUCAAGCCCAAUAACAUGAUGCACACUUGUGUGUGGAACGUCAUCAUGAUAAACUAUACCAUCAAAACAGGAAGAUUCUACCUUCUCCGCUUUGUCAAUAUCUUUAAUUGCUUGAUUCUCCAUAAAAAUAAUAUCACGACUUCUCACAAGUUUCUUUUCAAUUAGAUCAUAUAGUCUGUAACCAAAUUCAUUUAGGCCAUAUCCAAUGAAGAUGCAUUGCCUUGUCUUGGCAUCUAACUUUGACCUCUCACCUUUUGGCACAUGUACAAAAGCUUUGCAACCAAAUACACUCAAAUGGUCAUAGGAAACAUCCUUUCCAUACCAAACACUAUUUGGUACAUCACUUUGCAAAGCAUUGAUAGGUGAUAGAUUAAUAACAUGUGCAGCGGUCAAUAAAGCAUCACCCCAAAAUUAGUUCGGCAACUUUGCUUCAGAAAGCAAACAACUAACUCUUUCCAUAAAGGUCCUUUUCAUCCUCUCAGCCAAACCAUUAAGCUGUGGAGUCUUGGGAGGAGUCUUCUGGUAUCUAAUAUCUUGAUGCUUGCAGUAUUCGUCAAAUGAUCCACAAUAUUCACCACCAUUAUCAGUAUGAACACAUUUCAGUUUCUUUCCAGUUUCUUUUUCAACUGAAGCCUGAAAGUGCUUAAAGACACCUAACACUUGGUCUUUAGUCUUCACGACAUAGACCUAAAGUUUUCUCGAGCAAUCAUCAAUAAAAGUGUAAGUAGAGUGCACCACCCAAUGUCUUCGUCUUCAUUGGACCACAUAAAUCAGAGUGUACCAACUCAAGCAACUCUGUCUCUUUCAAAGGAGGGUAGGAUUUUAAAGGAAACUCUAUUUUGUUUACCAGCCAAGCAGUUCUCACACUUUUCUAAUUUAGCACUUUUGAAAUUUGACUAAAACUUCUUCUUGGCUAGAACAUUAAGUUCUUUCUCGCUGAAGUGGCUAAGUCUCUUGUGCCAUAACAUUGAAGAGCUAUCACUCUCAACCCCAUUCACCAUAUCAACACAAGCAGAGGUUGUAGUCUAGUAUAGGCCACAACGUUUGUUAGUACGAGCCAUAACCAAGGAACCCUUAAUAAGCUUCCAUUUUCCAUCACCGUUGGUACUAACAUUUCCUUUAUCAUCUAAAACACCAACAGAAAUCAGGUGUAGACGAAUAUCAGGAGCAUAUUUCACAUUGUUCAAAACUAGUUUAGUUCCAACACUAGUUUUCAAAAAAAUUGUAUCAAUGUCAACCACCCUAAAAACAGUAUCAUUACCCAUACUCAAGGUUCCAAAAUCAUCAGGAGUAUAGGAAGAUAAAAAAUCCUUCCUUGAUAUCACAUGAGAUGCGGCACUAGUGUCCACAACCCAGCUUGACUCAGCACAAGCAAUAUUUAUCAUGUCUGCGUCAAGAACGGUAAAAAGUUCUUUGGUGGUGACGGUGGCUAGGCAAUUUUCAUUGCCAUCUUCUUUAGUUUUUUCCUCUUUGUUUUUGUUUUCCGUUUUCAACUUCUUGCAUAACUUCUUUGUGUGACCUUUCAUACCACAAUGAUAGCACUCAAUAUCCUUAAGUCUGCCUCUGAAUUUGCUUCUAUUUUGUUCUGUAUACUGAGAACCACGAGUUUUGUUUCUCCCCCCUAGGGCCAGUUAUCAGGACAUCCGACGAAGAAGAACCUAGAGAUUUUCUUCUCAUCUCUCUGUUCAAGAUACUACUCUUGGCGGAAUCCAUAGAGAUCACACCAUCGGGAGCAGAAUUUGACAAUGAAGUUAUAAAUGUUUUCCAAGAGUCUGGUAGGGAACCAAGUAAAAGCAAGCCUUGAAUUUCUACAUCAAAUUUAAUCACGUAACUGAUAAUUGGUUCAUGAUCCCCUGAAAAUUAUUCAGAUGGUCUAUCAACGGAGAACCAUCAUGAUACUUCAAACUCAACAUCUGCUCUAUUAAGAAUAUUUUGUUGUUGCCUUUCUUUCGAGCGUACAAACUUUCAAGAUGCUUCCAUAAGGUUCGAGCAUGUGUCUCCCCAAAAAUAUGGUUCAACACAUUAUAGUCAACCCAUUGCCUAAUGAAUCCACAUGCCUGUCUAUGCAAUAGAUUCCACUCUUCAUCCGUUUUAUUAUCAGGUUUUACAGUGGGAAAUACUGGUUUGUAAAAAUUCUUAACAUAAAGAAGAUCUUCCAUUUUCCCCUUCCAAAUGGCAUAAUCAAUACCAUUCAAAGUAACCAUUCUACUUGUGUUGGAUUCCAUUGUUUUUCCCAAAAAAUAUUGUUAUCGCAAAUCAAAGUAAAUCUUUUCUGAUGUGGAAAUUCAGACUGUGCUACAACCACAGAGAAUACUCAGAUAAAACCUUGGCUUUGAUACUAGUUUGUUGGGAAAACACGGACAAACACAAAAAAUAUAUAUGGUAAAUGUAUUGUAAAUAAAAUGGGAAAAUAAUGACACCAAGAAUUUUAUGUAAAAAACCCUUUUGAAUAAGGGAAAAAACCACGGGGCAAGAGGAACAACUGAUAUUACUAUAGUAAGAAAUUUUACACUGUAUAGUCACGAAUACGAUACUCAAAGAGACUACUACACACUCAAAAGGAACAAUACUUUUUUGGUUUCCACCUUACUAAAGUUUCGCUCACACUCUAUUUUUCUUCACAGACUAUUUUUCUUAUAUAUACUAUGGAAUACCGCACUUUGCUCUCAAAAUGAUUUUUAUCUCUAAUUUGGUGUGUUCUACAAAUGAGCAAGAAUACUCUAUUUAUAGAAGUAUAAAACCAUGCCUAUGCCACUAAUAAUGGCUACAAAUCUUACGAAUUUUGCCAACUACCAAAUCUUUUAAUUUUAACUCUAAUAACUAUUCUUUUUUUAACGAUUACUUGUAUCAGUUGAAUAGCAAAAGUUGACCAAAAAGUGGGAUGGAAUCAACAGUUACUACUCCAACUGCAAAGAGUAUAUCUGGUCGCGUACAUGUCAAGUACCUCAAACUUUCUAUGAGACUCUUGAACAAAGUGGAAUCCACUUCUUAUCCAUUGUGACAAUUUUGUUCCACUUUCCAUUGGGGUGUUCACAGGGUCGCAACCAAACAUGUUUAACUUCUUCAAAAUCUCCUUUGUAUAGCUUUCUUGAGAUAUAAAGAUGCCUUCCUCCAUUUUCUUCACUUGUAGGCCCAAGUAAUAUGACAUGAGGCCUAUGUCAGUCAUCUCAAACUCAAGGGACAUAACUUUCUUGAAGGCUUCAAAUAAAACUGGGUUGUUACCCGUUAGCAUGAGAUCAUCAACAUAAAGACAAACAAGCAUAAUAUCUCCAUUAGUAUGAAAUUUACUUCAAAGAGCAUAAUCAUGGAGACAACGAGUAAACCCAUUGUCUUGAAAGUAUUUGUCAAUGCAACUAUUACAAGCUCGUGGAGCUUGCUUCAAUCCAUAUAAGACUUUCUUAAACCUAAGCACCUUAUCUUCAUAAUUUUUAACCAUAAAACCUAAUGGUUUCUCAACAUAGACUUCUUUUUCAAGAUAUCCAUUCAAGAAUGCCGAUUUGACAUCUAGUUGAUGGAUCUUACACUUCAUUUUCUCCGCUAAAGAGAUCAAUAGAUGGAUUGUCUCCAUGGGGGCAACAAGCUCAUAAACUUCUUCAUAGUCGAUGCCAUGCCUUUGUUUGUAGUCUUUAGCCAAAAGUCUUACCUUGUAUCUUUCUACUUCUCCAUGAGCAUUUUGCUUCAUCUUGUAUACCCAUUUGACUCCAAUCACUUGAUUGUCCUCGGAAAGAGCUGUCAACUCCCAAAUGUUGUUCUUCUCUAUUGAGUGGAUGUCCUCCUCCAUGGCUUGUCUCCACCUUUUGUUAGUAACAACUUCAUCAAAAUUCAUUGGUUCACUAUCAUCAAAAAGACAACAAAAAAAAUCAAAAUUAGUAAUUUCUUAUGUGUCAUCAUAGAGUUCUUGGAUGCUCCUCAUCCUAUGUGGUUUUUCAUUCAAACUCUCUUGAGAAGAUGGAGAUGCAACAUUUGCUGGUGAAAGAGGUGGGGUUGCAUCUUGUGAAGGUGUAAUGGUCUUCUAUUCUUCUUCAUGUCCGAAGUAUGGAAGAAAAUUCUAUGUUUUUUCUUUCGGAGCCUCCCAAUUCCAUGAUGCUUGUUCAUCAAAUUCAACAUCACGAAUCACCACCACCUUGUUAUUGCUUGGAUUGUACAAUUUGUAGCCUUUUGAACUUGCGUCAUAAACAACAAACAUAUUUGACACUCCGAUCGUCAAGUUUAGCUCUCCAUUGAUGUGGAACAUUAUCAUAUGCUAUGCUCCCAAAGAUUCUGUAGUGCUUAACACUUGGUUUUCUUCCGCUCCAUGCUUCUUGAAGUGUUUGAUCUCGUACAUUUCUUGUUAGAGACCUAUUUCUCAAAUAAAUUGCACAACAAACAGCCUCGUCUCAAAAUUCUUUUGGUAGAUGUUUAGCUUUCAACAUACAUCUAGCCAUAUUAAGAACUGUUCUAUUCUAUCUUUCUGCAACUCCAUUUUGUUGGGGCGAAUAAGGUACCGUUAGAAGGCGACGAAUUCCAUGAUAUUGACAAAAAUCAUUAAAUUCUUUUGAAGUGAUUCACCUUUUCUACCGGACCUUAAUGCUUUUAUUUCAUAGCCACUUUCUUUUCUACAAGUGCUUUGAAAUUUUUAAAGGCAACAAAAACUUUAGAUUUUUGCUUCAAGAAGUAUACCCAAGUUUUUUCUACUGAAAUCAUCAAUAAAGAUCAAGAAGUAAUUUCUUUUAUCAAAAGAAGGUGGAUCGAUUGGACCAAACACAUCGAUGUGUACAAGUUGGAGUGGCUUACUUGUUCUUGACGUAGUCUCCUUUGGAAAACUCCUCCUUUCAUAUGUUUUCCAAGAAGACAAGCUUCACACAAUUGAUUUGGAUGGUUGAUUGACGGUAUCCCAUCAACCAUGUUCUUGUCUCCCAUUGAUUUAAGCACUUCAAAGUUCAAAUGCUCAAAUCUCAUAUGCCAACACCACGAGUCAUCUUGCACAUUAGCCUUCAAACACUUUGCAUCGAUAGUUUGAAGAUUCAAAGGAAACAACCUAUUCUUUGCCAUAUGAACUUUAACAAUUAAGUUGUAACUUGAAUCUCUUAUCCAAAGAUGAAUAUUUUUCAUAUGAAUAUCAUAUUCUUUUUCAAGAAGUUGAGCCAAAAUCAAAAUAUUUACUUUUCAAUUUUGGCACAUAAUAAAUAUUGGUAAUCAAUUUAUGAACACCAUCUUUACAAGAUAUCAGUACCUAUCCCUUCAAUUUGGAUCUUUGAGGUAUAUCCAAAAGAUACAUUAUCUUUCACAGUAUUCUUUAUCUCUACAAAUUUAUUUUUGUUGCCACACAUAUGAUUUCUUGCUCCAUUGGCAAGAUACCAUGAGCUGCAAUCAUAUUUAUCUUCUUCUUUGAGUGUAAAUAACAGUGUCGACUCAUCUUCAUGUUUGUUGUUGUCAACACGAUUAACUUUUUCUUCAACAUUACUACGACAUUCCCAAGAGUAAUGUCCCAUUUUAUGACAAUUAUAACACUCAAUUUUAGAUUUGUCAUACCUUAUUUCAUUUGUACCUUGAUAGACUCCACGUCCUCUGCCUCCUCCUUGACCACGACCACGACCUCUGAAUGACUGGUGAACUUUAUCUUUAUUUUUGAAAUAAUUGUCAUAACCUAUUCUUCCACGGCCUACACGACCUCCACGGCCUCGCCAUUGUCCAUUUCCUUUGUGACUUUUCUCACCUUCAAAUCCUUUGAAGGAUGCAUGAGUUUUAAGAAGUUGCUCUAGUGGCUCUUCUGUACUACUUUUCAUUUUCUUUUUAUAGGCUAGUAAAGAACCUUCCAAUUGUUCUACCGUCAUAGAGUCUAGAUCUUUAGACUCCUUAAUAGCACACACCACAUAAUCAAAUUUAGGUGUUAAAGAAUGAAGAAUCUUUUCUACUGCACACACAUAAUCUACUUCCUCUCGUAUCUUCUUAGUUGAUUUACAACAACCAUCAAUCUUGAACAGAAAUUCGAAAUGGAUUCGAAUUCUUUCAUUUUAAAACUUCAAAAUCAUCCUUUAGCAUUUUAAGUUUUAUCUUCUUUACUUUCUCAACUCCUUGGAGAGAAUUUUGUAAAAUCUCCCACGCUUCUUUUGAGGUGGUUGCAUCAGCCACCUUCUCAAACAUGCUAUCAUCCAAACAUUGAUGGAUAAGAGUGAAGGCCUGUUGAUCUUUAUUUCUUGUCUUUAACAAGAGCUCCUUUUCAUUUGAGGGAAAGUUUCCUCAUUUGCGGGUUUUAUAUAUCCUUUGUCUACAAUAUCCCAAACAUCUUGAGAGCCAAGAAUAGUUUUCAUUCGUAGACACUAUUUUUCAUAAUUUUUCUUGUGAGACGGAGGUAUUGAAAGGACAACAGAUUAUUAUUUGUCAUGGCUCUGAUACCAUGUUGCUGGACAAAAUGAUAAUCACACCCAGGAUAUUGUCCAAACUAAAUAGCAAUAGAAAGAGAGUAACAAAGACACCAAAUAUUAAAAUGGGUAAAUAUGAUACCCGAAUAAGUAAUACAAUAAUAUUGAUGAAAAACUUGGUAGUGUCAAAAGACUACUACUUAACACUCUUUUAUUUCUUGCAACUUACAAUAAUAUUACUUGCACACUAUUUUCUCACAAACUAAGAAAUAGUUUGUGGAUUACUCUCUCUACUCUCUAUUGCUUCUCUAUUUUGGUGUGUCUUCAAGUGUUCAAUUACUACUCUAUUUAUCGAGUUUUUUUGAACACCUGUUACAUCAUUAAUGACAUAAUAUGGUAGCCAAUUUCAAUAAAAAAUUGGUUGCCUAACUCUAUCAAACUUAUACCAAACUUUGACUACCUACUUCCAUAAAUGUGGUACCAACUUUCACAUUGGUGGCUAUACAUUUUCACAUCUGUGGCUUGUAAUUUGAACAAGUAUGACUACCAAAUUAAUUGUUGGCAAGAUUUAUUUCCACAUGAGCAUCUUUUAUUUAAGGUCACAUGAUAUCUAUUGUAGUAGCGAUUAAAAAGGAUGUCUGAGUUGCUCUAGCUAACAAGUUCAAGAAAUUUACAAGGACGAACGAAAGAAACACUUUUGCUUAGUUUGUACCACGUGUGCUUAGAAUUUUUGAAAAUCUGUAUUUACCCUUCCUUAACAUUUCAUAUAUAUAUACUUAUGACUCAUGCCAAUCAUACAUAUUUCUUAGUUGUUGUGCUUACUCCUUAUCACCAGGUGUUGCAUUUGAAUCUUUAGAAAAUUUGAAUUGUCCACACCUUUCAAAGACUUGUAAAAAGUCAGUCUACUUAUGAUUUUAGAAUAAAUGAAUUUAAGAUUUUAAUGAACUCUGGAAAAACCUAUUGAUUCAGACGAACAUAGAGUAAAUAAUGUUUAAGAGGUUGGGCUUCAUUGUAUAAAAUGCAUAAAAUCAAAAGUUAGGUUCUCUCAUUUGAUUCAGACGAACAUAGAGUAAAUAAUGUUUAAGAGGUUGGGCUUCAUUGUAUAAAAUGCAUAAAAUCAAAAGUUAGGUUCUCUCAUUUAUUGGUGUUAUUCUUUAAAAAUUAUUUUAUUUGGUUAGGCAACAUUCGUAGAACUUCAAGUUAUCAAUUAAUUAAAUAAAAAGGGUCAAAAAUGUAGAAGAGAUUUAUAUAAUAUGAAUGGUAUAGAUGAUUGUGCAAAUUGUACUUGGAACCUUUUGUUUGAUAAAUUAAGUCAUCCACACCAACAAAAGGAUUAUAAAAGGUCACUCUACUUAGGUACCUACUUAGAUGAGAUUAUAGUUUCACCAAGUAUCUUCCUUAUUUUUGUGCUUUUUGGUGACUGCAAAGGAAGCUUUUUGAAAUUAUCAUCCAGUUGUCUAUAUAUUAUUGCAGGAAAGCCUAUUGCAUUCAAAUAUAAGGUUUAAAAAUUGAAGGCAGAAAGAACAUCAAAGACAAAAUUUGCAAUUCCUCUUUUUGUCUUUUCUCUUUCAAGCAUGUUUCUUCAUCUUCUUUACCAUUUUGAAUGGUUCCAGAAAACAAUCUUGCUUUAGAAUUAGUGUAUUAGUCUUAUUCUUGGAAUUAGUGUUUUGCAAGUUAGUUUGUAUAGUAUGAAAUAUGGACUUGAGAGUAAUAUUAUGUUCUCUAUCUGGUGUAAAUAAUUUCACGGAGAAGUUAAUUUUGGUUCUCCAUAUUGUUGUAUGCAUUAAUUCUUGUCUGUUGUGCAAGACACUUUGAUCUUGGAGCUGAGUAUACAUGCAAGUGGUAGUGAACGAGAUUUUUGAACAUUGCUAAUAAAAAAAAUUCAAAUUAAAUGAAGAGAACAGUAAGAAAGUGAGACUUGUAAUUACUUAAAACAUUGAGAAGAUUCAUUAGCAAAGGCGGGAUGAGAAUUAUGCCUCUAUAUUUCAUGGUUGACGAGGAAACAUAAAUCAUGAAAAUUUGUGAAAAUUGAAUUUAUCAUUUAUUCAUCUAUAUAUAGAGUCGACCCAUUUCUCACUUUUUUUUCAUCACUAAAGUGACUUGUAUAUCCGCACACGUAUGAGAGUUUAGUACUUUCUUAAAUUGUCAAGGUUACUGGGUAUUUUAGCAAUAAACUUCUUCCUUUUAAUAAGCAUAUUUUAAAAAAUCACACUUCAAGUGCUGCUACAUUUCAUCCAAUUAAAUUGGGAAAAUAGUAUCCUCUUAGGGUGUGCUUGGUAGUAGAUUUGAGAUUUAUUUUCUCAUGUUGGGUUGGUUAGUAGAAAAUAUUUUUCGGAAAUAAUUUUUUAGUGUUUGGUUUAUGAAUGAAAAAUAUUUUUUAGAGACAUAUUUAUUUUACUAAAGCAGAAAAUAAUUUAUGAAAUUGAAAAUAUUUUUUAAAAAUAAUUUUUAUUUGGGGUGGUGGGGUGGGGGUAGGGGGAGGGGAUAGGAGUGAAAAAAUAAAAAUUUAAACUUUAUAUUUUUUUUUUAAAAAUAAAAUUAAUUUUUUUGGGGUUGUGGGGUGGGUGGGGGGAUGACCGGGGGAGGGGGGAUGUGGCUAGGAAUUUAAAAAUAAAAAUUUGAAGUUGACAUUUUUUUUAAAAGCAAAAUUAUUAUUUUGGGGAGGGAGGGGGGGGGGGGGCUGGCCGGUGGUGGGUGGGUGGGAUGGGUGGGGAUCAGGAUCGGGUAAAUAAAUAAUAUUUUAAAAUUGAUUUUUUAUAUUAUUGUUUUUCCCAAAAAAAAUGUAAUUUAAAAUUGGAGCAGAGUUUUGGAAAAUGUUUUCCUUAAUUUUUGAAGGGAAGUCAUUGUCUUUAAUUUUGAGGAAAAUGAAUUGAUUUGGAAAGUGAAAAGCAUUUUCUAAUCAACUCAAUUUUUCUGAGUUUUAAAUUUAAUCCGACUAAUUGAUUAUUUAAUAUUAAUUGCAAUGGUAGCUUAUUUCAAUGUAUAUAUAUAAUUUGGGCCCAUUUUCUUAAAAUUUUCAGCAAACCCAACCCAUUAAUAAUUCAAUAACCAUUCUCCAAAAGAUCCAACCCAUCUUUUCUUGUAACCCAGUCCAGCUCUGAUCGUGCCCCUUUUCUCGUCCAAAAUAAGCCAUUAAUCGCCCGUUUAAUCAAGAACCGGAAAUUCCCAGAAGAAACGACACUCCAACGUCUUUGUUCGUACAACAAGGUACAUGCACAUUUUCUGUCCUAGGCACACGGGAUCGUCCUCCUUGCGUGAGAUGAGGCCACGUCGAAGAACCAAUCCUAGCCGCCGGCGUCCUUAUCAAAUUUUGAAAUUUUGCCAAAGAAUUCGAAAUUUCUUUGUACGACCCAUCUGUGGAUUUUUUUUGUCUUUAAGGGAUUUUGAAGUUAAAAGGAUGAGGAAGAAAUUCGUUUCUACCCUCGAAACUCUUCCCCGUUCUGCCCUUCUCCCCCUCUUUCCCAACCCUAAUUUCCUCGAUAUAAAAGCUUGACGUUCACUGAAAGAAAAAAAAAGAAAAGAAAAAAAGCCGAAAAAGUGAGAGAAUUGUGAGAGUGGUUUUGGAGUUGUUAUUCUGAGUAACAAGAUCUUUGAACAAUUUCUUUUUAAAACAAGGGAGUAGUAUUCUCAUUCUUUAAAGACACUUUCAAAUAGGGAAGUUUCCUGAUUGGCUGCCCGGUUCCUCUGAUUAUCGUUGGCGUUCGAGUUCCUUGUGAUAAAAGUCUACUCCUCGCUCAUCCCGUCUCCAUUCGCUGCCUUAAAGGAGGUGAUAUUCUUCUAUAAAUUUCCACUCAGUCAAAGUAUUGUUCUAUUUUUUUUGUAUCUCUGAACGACUUUCACUUCUUGAUUUUACUGCUACUGCAUGAUAAUUUUUUUUGUAUGGUUUGAAUGAGCAUAAACCUGGUCGGUCAAUGUUAAGUGUCUCAUUUGUGUAAUUUCCUUGUCUUCAAAUAUCUAUGGAGAUUGAGAAUAGAGCACAUGUUCUCUUUAUUUUUUUUGUCUGUUCGUCCUACUGUUGGUUACGUUUGCAAGGCAUUUCAAGAUUGUCAUUUAGUAUUCUAGAAUCGAUUAUCUUAUAAUAUGAUUUAAGUGUGUAGUCAUGGACUUUUCAUGUUUUGAACUACUUUCUAGAUUGAAAUUAUUAUUCUUUCUGUUCACAUUUCCGAGUUUCUCUUUGAUUGCAUUCCGUUUAACUCUCAAAGUAUUUGACUCGUCUUAGUCGUUUCGAAGUAUGAGGUGUUUUCAAAUCUGUCAUUAUUUUCAUGGAUUUUAGUCGAUAUAUGGAUUAGACAAUAGGGAGUGUGAACGUUGUGCGACUAUAGUCCAUUAAAUAUUAUAGUACGUCUUUCCCGUUACUGUUCAUUUUAUUUUCUUGCAUCUAUUUCUUCUUUUUUUCUGCUUCACUGUUUUUUUUCAGCAUAUGGGUUUUAUUAUAAACUUGUAUUUAGUUAUUUGGAGUGUAUAUGAUGUUUUGAAUGAUAUUUUACAAGCAAUUUUUUUAGAAGGUUUGGGAGGUGGGGGAAUAUUUCCUUUCCAUUCGGUUCGAGAUAUGGCCAGAUUUUUAUAGGGUUGUAGUUUAAACUGUUUGAAGAAGGUUCAAUUUUUAGUCUAAAUUAUCAUCUCACCCAUGCCUAUCUCGUUUGCGAGUAAAUGCACCUCUUUAAUAUGCGAUUCCCCAUAGCUUCCCUUGUGCGUUUUAUUUUAGUUAGUUCAACUAGAGUCAAUCAUUUAUUCUUAGUUUUCCUUCUUUGUGUCUCGAAAAAUCAUCAUUAUUUUCUCCAUACACUUUUUUCUAAGAUGAGCACUUGAGGUGCAUUAUAAAAAGUUUUAUUGGACUAAAUCUUUUUCCACAUUUAUGGGUCGGUUUUGGUUCCAAGAAAUGACUGUCUCUCCUUAGUUUGCCUUGAACACAUCGGAUUUGCUUGGCUUGACUGCAAAUAUUGUAUUUUUUUUAUAGAAGUCAAGGUUCUACCAUUGAAAUAUGUAUGAUUUUCGAUUUCUAUGUAGCAUCUAUCGAAUUUAAUUUUGACUCGAUAAAACAUCCGCCAGCUUGCUCUCAUUGCUUGAGGAUUUUUCACUUUAAAUUUUAUUUGGGUUGUUUGAAUUAUGAGAAUAUAUUGCAAUACUAAGGCAGGUUUGCUUGUUUAAUAAUAAGUUUAGUUGAUACAUGUUUGUUGUAGGGGUCAUUGUAACCCAUAAGUUCAACUUACCUUUUUCUUUUGCAAUUAACUAACUUUGAAAAUGCGUAAUCCUUAUUCAGUAAGUGCUUUUAGUACGUGUAAUGUUACAGCUUAUUGUUAACCACAUACAGUAGCAUUAUUUUCGCUAUCACCGUUUGUUUCCUUUUUUCUUAAUUGUAAAAAAUCUUGCCUACCAAAGAUUUGUAGUUUAUUUGUCAUAUGUAAGUUUGAGAUGAAGUUUCUUUUCACAUGCUCUUAAUUUUCUAAAACAUCUCGUACGUCAUUCCAAUUACCAUCCGGUCCUCCUCUCUCUCUCUCUCUCUCUCUCUCUCUCUUUAUCUCUUCAUAUCGUUUAUUUAUGUGUUGACUAUAUGAAGUUAGUCUUAGGGCUAGAUAUAAACAAAUCCUCUGCAAGACACCAUCUCGUUUUGAUCACUUAUUUUAAAUCGACUAAAAAAUAAAUCUAGCAAGCCUUAUUUAGAUAAUAAAAUCAAUAUUUUAUUUCUGAAAGCAACUCUAGUUAGUUUAAGAUUAUCCAAAUAAUAUUAGCCAAAUAAUAUUAGCUGUCAGAUAGACGUAUUUAAAUGGGUAUUUUAGGUGCGUUAAACACCUUCCUAAAGUACAAUAUGAAUCCCCGACCCCCUAAAUAUUUUCGAAUGAUUUUAUUUGUUUAAAUCUUUUGGAAACGUCAGUUUUCUUGAUUUUUCUUCAUAAAUGAAGUGGCGACUCUAAAAAAGUCGAAAACUCUUCAAAACAAUAUUUUUUCUUUUCCAUAUAGAAUCAAAAUGGCGGCUCCGAUGGAGACUUUUGAGGAUUCUAACCUUAAGACUAACAUUAUUUUGUUAUAAUUGCUUAAUUGUUUACUUGAUUAUUAUAAUUGUCCCAUUUUUCAUGGCAUAUUUCCGCUAAUUGCCACCUCAUUUGCAUUAGGAAAUUGAAUGUUAUGUGGCUUUCCACGGCUUUCUUCAUAAAAUACACAAAAGUUUCAUUUGGAAGUAUCAAACAAAUAGUUGGAAUGCGGUCAUCUGACGUUGUUUGGUAGUUUCACCCCGAUGUUUGUCCGACUCGGGUAACCGUCAACUUGAAAACUAUUCUAGUAAGCCUAAGUUAGAGCAAAACCAAAACCAAAUUAAGCAUUAGCAUAAGACGACUUAAUACCCAAGGUGUAUUAAGUCCAUUUAGUAGAAAAUUACCAAAAUCGUGUCUAAGGUCUUCGACCUCACGACACAUCAUAUUUAUGUGACAUUUGAAUGAUGUACGUGUGAAAACCAAUGUGGAGUGGGUAAGCCUAACUAGCAUCUGUUUUGUAGAUAUGGAUCAUUUUUAAAUGUUCGAUAUGGUCAUAUCAGCGCCACCUCAACUAACGAUGUGGUAUAAUAAUCUGAACGGGGAUCAUAGAAGAACCCACAACAAAUACGUGGGUGCUCUGACAGAAUUAAUCAACAUGAAUGGUUGGCCGGAAUUGGUUGAGGUCCUCAUGGGAUAUUGGAUAGACAACGAAUGGUGUUCCGAUUCGGAAACGCCAAAAUUACCUUGACUUUGGAGGAAAUUCGAGACUGCAUACACACGGUAGGCACUGGGAUAUAAAGGAAAGCAAGAAAAUAAGAAGAGAUCUUUAUCCCUAAUAAGCCUUUGGUAGAAAGUAUUGCUGACUGGUUCGGUUGCGGAAGACUUUGCCUACUGCUGUCAAGAAUCCCACAUAGCAUUUAGAGAUCUUUAUAUCAGAUUUGGACAUGCGAGUUUCUACUCCACUUACAACUGAGAGUUCAAGGUCUUUGUAGAGAAUGGAAUGAGAUUCGUCCUCUAGCAUUUGCCGUAGCGUUGUUGGGAAUGAUGGUCUUCCUGCAUGGACCGAGUAUGAGCAUUAAUACUCGUGUUAUAGUAAUCGCACAUACUCUAUUCAAAGGGUACGAGAACCAAGGGAUAACAAAGUACUACCCUAUAGCUCUGAUUAUCUUGUCCGAUAUGUAUCGAGCCCUGGGAAAAUGCAAGGAGGGGCAUCGGUGCUUCCAAGGGUGUAACUUGUUCCUUCAGUGGUGGAUCCUCAGUCAUCUAGAAAAGGGUGUUGGGACUCAGAAGCUACAUACUCUCGACAAAAAGAACACCCUUAAAGAUUUGAAUGGCAUGUUGUACUGGGCGAAUUUGGACAAUAAGAGAACGAGAGGGAGAUGGGCUCAGAUUUUCUCUAAAUUGAGAUAAGAAGAUCUCCAAUGGAUGCUUGACCGUUCCAUCCCUAAAGAAGUUGUCGUGGAGAGCCGCACACAGAUUGUGACUACUCUACGAGGUAUUCGGUGAAUUCGCCCUUAUGCACCCUUCUGAGUCUUGCGAUAGUUAGAGAGGAGACAAACUAUCCCCAAAGAGGUGUACUAUGGCGCUUAUGAAUAUGAAAUUCGAGAUGAUAGAGUGCACGACGCGUCUAAAAUGUUCAAAGAAUGGAAAAGUUCCAAGCAUAUGGAUAAAGACUCCAUCGCCCCUGAAUGAUUCAAUGCUAGAUAUGACAAGGGCUACAAAGAAGGCUGAAGAGGGACAUACAAAAUGUCUCCUCACAAACCCCGCGUAGCUUUCACAGCGUAACAGACUGAGAAGCAAAGCAAUGGCCGAGCUACAAGUGGUAAAGAAAGAAGCCCAAGAGGUGUACGCUAAGUUUAUCGAGAACCAAGAUACUCUUGAGAGGGUGACUCAAGAGGUGGAAAUACUAAGGUGUGAUUAUGAUUAUUUCGAUACCUGGGUCGAGGAGAAAAUCGAGAGGAUGCGAUACGAAAACUUGGAAAGAAAAGAGAGGAAAUCGCUGCUGUUUCAUAUGGGGGAAGGAAAACCCCCAGAAGCUCAUCAUAUUCACAAGCUCUCGACCUUCUCACAAAUCCCACCAAGCUUGCUACACACAAGCUAGUCAUCCCAAAUAUCCUCCAGUUUAUCAGAAUAUCACCUCCACUUAUCCAAACGUCCAAGCUUCACUAUACCAAAGUCCACCCCCAAUUACAAAAAUCCAUCUCCCAUUUUCCCAAAUCAUCCUCCACCCUACCAAAUUCCAUCUCCUACCAGGGUGUUGCUCCCAACUAUGCUAACGUGCAGUCGAGCUAUCGAGCAACCCAUCCUAUUUAUCAAGUCCAAGCUCCACUAUACCAAAAUUCUCCCCUGGAUUACCAAUCUCCAUCGCCAAACUACCAAGAAAAUCUAUAUCCAUAAGCCAAGCUCCCUGUCCAAAUACCAAAAGUCAUCAACAGGUGUCUUUUUCUCAACAAGGUAGUUAUGACCCUCCCCGACCCAUAUGGGAGAAUAAGCCUUCAAGGAACUUCACUGUGCUCGUUGAAAGCCGAACAAAGCUGUACGAGCGACUGACUGUGGUUGGAUACAUCCACCCUGUGGGGCCCUAACUCGUGGAUGUCAAUUCAAAAUUCUACAGACCUGAUCAGAGAUGUGCUUAUCAGUCCAACAUUGUUGGGCAUGAUACUGAGGAUUGUAUCAACCUCAAGCACAAAAUUCAGAUUUGAUUGACCAAGAGGUAGUCUCUCUCCAACCGGCGGCACCAAAUGUCAACACUAACCCAUUGUUAAAUCAUGGGCGCCUUAAUAUCAAUAUGAUCAAGACAGAUGAUGAAUGGUGUGGAACGAAAAUGAUUACUCCAAUUGUUCACGAUGAUUUGGAAAAUAUUUUAGCUUUUUUGAGUAUCAAAGAGAAGAAAAAGUUCGUUAUUUUGACACCCUCAAAGGCUGUUGCUUUGGUGCCAUCAAAAACUCUCAUCACGCCUAAGCUUGUUAUUGAAACUUCUACUGCUCAAGGCAUGACCAGAUCUAGAAGAUGUUACACUCCUAACGAGCUUGCUCUCGGAGGUCAAAAGAAGGAUCUGGCUAAAAGGACAACGAGUGAAGGUGAGGCAGAGGAAUUCUUGAGGAUAAUGCAACCGAACGAUUAUUCUAUUGUCAAGCAUUUGGAGAAGACUCCAACCAAGAUUUCUGUAUGGGCUCUGCUGAUGAGUUCUUAAUCAAACAUGAAGGCUUUGAUGAAGGCUAUCGAUGAUACAUAUGUACCCACGGGCACAAGAAGCGAUAAAGUGGCCUCUAUGAUUCACUAGGUUAUUCGAGGGUACCGAAUCAACUUUUGUGACGUUGAGCUGCCUUUUAAAGGGAGGUCGCACAACAAGGCGUUGCACAUCACUGUGGUAUGCCGCGAAAAAGUUGUCUAUCGCGUCUUAGUAGAUGAUGGAUCUGAUUUGAAUAUCUGCCGGUUAUCGACGUUGAGGAAGCUAAGGUUUGACCUUGGGAAGUUGGAGCAAAGACAAGUCAACAUAAGAGACUUUCAUGGGGGUCUAGUGAGAUACGUUGGGAGCAGUGAAUCUGAGCAUCCAAAUGGGUCCAACAUAAUUCAUUGCACAGUUUCAGGUAUUGGAUAUCGAUACCAACUAUAAUCUUUUUUCUGGGAAGGCCUUUCAUCCAUAUGGCUGGAGCUGUCCCUUCUACUCUGCAUCAGAUGAUGAAGCUCAUUUGGAAGAACGAAGAGCUGGUUAUUCAUGGAAAAGGGAGUCACUUUGGCAGACAAGGGCCAAUCAUUUAUGAAGUAUCGCAUGAUAUAGAUUUUUACAUGGUGGAGCUAGUAAAGUACACGGGUGAAGACUUGUCUCCACAGAUUCCUAUGCCAGGUUUCGGAUUAGGAUGAAAUUCCCAAGGUAUUAUUGAGCCUAUUCUGGUACUCGUCAAGGGAGCCAUAUAUAGUUUGGGGUACACCCCCAAAGAUGAUGACAUGAAGACGAAGAAAAAAAAUGAUCAAGCAUUAGUUAAUCUGAUCCAAAAUCUUUAUCAAUCCUUUCCGGUCUGGGAGUAUGCCGAGCAUGAAGACCUUUGGGAAGGAAUCUGUGACCUCUUUGAGGAGAUCGAUGCUGUUAUUGAGGAAAAGGUCGAGCUAGCUGGUAUCCGCGAUGCUGAGUUAGGAUAGAUGCUGUGGAACUUGACCUCCACGCCCAUGUUGAGUCCCCAAACUCCUCGGUAAAAGGGCAUCAUUUCAUGCAUAUUUUAAAUCGGUGGUAGUCCGGAAUAGGCCCAAGACCCACCAUUUUGCAUAUUUUUUUGACUGUUAAAUUUUAGAAUUUCCAUCCUGAUGUUCAAAGAAGGUAACAUGGCCCUAUGCCAUGGCUAAAGUUUGCAUUGUUUUCCAAUUUGAAUGAAAGCCUCUUCUAAUUUUAAAACUUAUCUAUUUAUUCAUUUGUUAUACUUUACUUUCCUAACUUUGUUUAUGGUUUCAGUCUUGUAGGUUUUAGACUUACAAAUGUCAUGUCAUGUCACGAGCUGAAUGAACAAAAUAAGGCAGGUGAUGACGAGGUUGAUGACUACGAAGAAGAAAGUGAGGAACCAGAGUAUGUUGCUGAGGAAUUUUUGUAGUUUGAAAAUCAGCAUAAGAAAAAUCUAGAGGAAAUGGAAACGGUACAUCUGGGAGACCCUGAAUGCGUUAUAGAGGUUAAGAUCAACAUCCAUUUAAAUGAAACUCAAAGAAAAGGCCUAAAUCAUUUGCUUGAUGAAUAUUUUAUUGUGUUUGCCUACGAAGUCGGUGAAAUGUAAGGGCUAAGUACUGAUGUUGUAUCUCAUAAACUACCGAUUAACCCAAAGUUUGAUCUGGUGAAGAAAAAGGCUCGAAAGUUCAAGCAUGAACUAAGUUUAAAGAUCAAAGAAGUGAUCACCAAGCAAAAAGAGUCUUGAUUGGUGGAAGUGACACAAUACUCAACUUGGAUAGCCAAUGUUGUUUCGGUUGCCAAGGAAGACGGGAAAAUUAAGAUUUGUGUUGACUACAGAGACUUUAAUAAAGCUAGCCCGAAGGAUAGUUUUCCGUUUCCGAAUAUUCAUAUUUUGAUUUAUAACUAUGCUAAGCAUGAGAUGCAGUCAUUUGUGGAUUGUUACGCAGGUUACCACCAGAUUUUGAUGGAUGAGGAAGAUGCAGAAAAGACGGCUUUUAUUACACCUUGGGGUCUAUUUCAUUAUAGGGUGAUGCCAUUUGGCCUCAAGAAUGCUGGUGCUACCUAUAUGAGGGCUAUAGCGACCAUAUUUCAUGACAUGAUUCAUAAAGAGAUUAAAGUGUAUGUGGAUGACGUCAUAAUCAAGUCCUGCGAGAGUUCGGACCACUUGACACAUCUAAGGAAAUUCUUUGAUCGUUUUCAUCAUUACAACUUGAAGUUAAAUCCCUCCAAAUAUGCUUUUGGAGUUCCGGUUGGAAUGUUGUUGGAUUCAUAGUCAGCAGAAGGGGUAUUGAGCUCGACCCUUCUAAGAAUAAAGUAAUUCAAGAGUUAACUCCGCCGAAGAUGAGUAAACAGGUGAUGAGUUUCUUAGGGAGAUUAAACUACACCAGUCGAUCCAUAGCUCAAUGAACCGUAGUUUCUGAGCCUAUUUUCAAGUUGUUGAAGAAAAAUGCCCCGACAAAAUAGACUGAAGAGUGUCAGACUGAUUUUGAUGCUAUCAAGAACUAUUUGUCCAAUCCACCAGUAUUGGUUCCUCCGCGAGAAGGGAGUCCUUUGUUGUUGUACUUGUCUGUCUCUGAUAGUGCAUUCGGAUGCAUACUUGGUCUACAUGAUGAUACAAUAAACAAGGAAAGGGUUAUCUAUUAUAUAAGCAAGAAGUUUACUUCAUACGAGUCUCAUUACACUUUGUUUGAGAGAACGUGUUGUGCUUUGACGUGUCUUGCCCAGAAGAUGAGACAUUAUUUGACUUCUUAUACUACAUACCUCAUUUCCAGAAUGGAUCCAGUGAAGUAUAUCUUCUAGAAGGCGAUGCCGACCGGAAAGUUAGCUAAGUGGCAAAUGUUGUUGAAUGAAUUUGACAUGGUGUAUGUGACUCGGAAAGAGAUAAAGGCAUAGUCUUUGGCUGAUCAUCUUGCAGAAAAUCCCGUUGAUGAAGAGUAUGAACCACUUAAGACCUAUUUUCACGAGGAAGAAGUAUCAUUUGUGGGUGAGGAUAUUUAUUAAGCAUAUCCUAGUUGGAGAUUAUUCUUUGAUGGAGCAGAAAAUCGUUAAGGUAAAGGUAUCGGAGCAGUCUUAGUGUCAGAAUCUAGUCAACACUAUCCCAUGGCGGCUAAGCUACGAUUUAAUUGCACGAACAACAUGGCCGAAUACGAAGCUUGCAUUCUUGGUUUAAAAAUAGACAUCGACAUGAAUGUCUACGAGUUGUUAGUUAUUAGAGAUUCUGACCUUUUGAUUCAUCAAGUUCAAGGAUAAUGGGGUUUGAAGAACCCAAAGAUUAUACCUUACGUACAGUAUGUGCAGAAGUUGUGCAAAAGAUUUCAUAAGAUCGAGUUUAGACAUACUCUCAGAAUACAAAAUAAAUUGGCCGAUAAUCUUGCCACCAUCUCUUUGAUGAUUAAACAUUCGGAUAUAAAUUAUAUUGAUCCUCUGGAUAUAGAGUUGAAAGAACAUCCAGUUCAUUGUUUCCAUGUUGAAGCAGAACCAAACUGUUUGCCUUGGUAUUUUGAUAUAAAGAAGUAUUUGGAGUCUGGAACAUAUCCCAAAGGUGCUAAGUCCAAUCGAAAGAAGUCGAUACGGCAUAUGGCUCUUAAUUUCUUUCUGAGUGGAGAAAUCCUUUAUAGGAGGACUCAAAUUUGGGUCUUCUCAGUGUGUGGAUGUUGUUGAAGCCGCGAAACUUAUUGAACGGAUACAUGCUGGAGUUUGUGGCACGCAUAUGAAUGGGCUCACUUUGGCAAGAAAGGUCCUUCAAGACGGGUAUUUCUGGAUCACUAUAGAGAAUGAUUGUUGCAAGUUGGUGCAAAAUGCCAUAAAUGUCAAGUGCACGGUGAUUUGAUCCGAGUGCCAACUCACGAACUUAAUGCUAUGAGUUCGCCUUGGCCAUUUGUAGCUUGGGGUAUGGAUGUCAUUGGUCCGAUAGAGCCAGUCACUUCUAAUGGACACAGAUUUAUUGUGGUUGCCAUUGAUUAUUUAAUCAAGUGGGUGGAAGCAGCUUCUUACAAGUCGGUGACCAAGAAAGUUGUAGUUGAUUUUGUUUGCAACAAUAUGAUAUGCAGGUUUGGAAUACCUGAAUCCAUUAUUACUGACAACGGUGCAAAUCUCAAGAGUCACUUAAUGAGAGAGCUAUGUGAGCAAUUCAAGAUUACUCAUCGAAACUCAACUGCUUAUCGCUCUCAAAUGAAGGGAGCUAUAGAAGCCGCCAAUAAGAAUAUUAAGAAGAUUUUGAGAAAAAUGAUUGACAAUCACCGAGGUUGGCAUGAUAUGUUUCCAUAUGCCUUACUGGGAUAUUGAACAGCUGUCAGAACACCGAUUGGAGCUACUCCGUACUUACUAGUGUAUGGAACAGAAGAAGUUAUACCUGCUGAAGUCAAAAUACCGUCUUUGAGAAUCAUCUAAGAAGCUGAGUUAAGUAAUGCUGAAUGGAUCAAUAAGCGGAUUGAUCAACUUACUUUGAUUGAUGAGAAGAGAAUGGUUUUCGUUUAUCAUGGUCAAUUGUAUCAACAGAGAAUGAUUCGCACUUUCCACAAGAGAGUAAGAGCUAGAACUUUUGAAAUCGGUCAGUUAGUACUUAAACGCAUUUCUCCUCAUCAAGAUGAGUACAAAAGAAAAUUCGCACCAAAAUAGCAAGGACCUUACAUGGUUCGCGAAGUAUUAUCUAGAGGUGCUUUGGUCUUGUCAGAGAUGGCUGACACCGUAUUUCCUAAACCUAUCAACUUAGACGCCGUCAAGAGAUACUAUUUGAAGCUUCGUUUUGCAUUUCUGUUAUUUACUCGAAUCAUUCUGUUUCCUUGUAUUUGUUCUGCUUAAUUUUAAUCCCUCUUUGUAAUAAACUAUGUCUGACCUGAAUUUUGAAGAAUGGGAUACGUAGGCGGCCUAUGUCGGCCUUGGUCACCCCCUCUUUUAUCCUUUCUAAUAUUUGUUUGUAUUUGAACUACGUUAGACCUGAAUUCUCAAGAAUGAGAUACGUAGGCGGCCUAUGUCGGCCUUGGUCAUUUUUUUUAAUUUUUAUUAUUGUUGUUAACCUUGAGGGAACUAAGUUUGACCUAAUUCCUUGCUCAACGGGAUACGUAGGCGCCACAAGGUUUUGGUCAUAUCUCCCAUAAGAUUUCUAUUCCUCUUUACAAUAGAAACCGAGAUAGAAUUUUUGAGAGCUACUCAAAAUUCUCGAGAAGAAGAUUCUUCCUCAGCAAGUCAAGACUAAAGAUGUUUUGAGAUUUGCAAUUGGGAUAGAAUUUUGAAGAACAUCUCAAAAAUUCUGCGAUCUACUCAGUAACAGUGGAAAGAUAAGCAAGACAGUUAAUUGGGACAGAAAUUUUGAGGAUGACAUCAAAAUUUCAGCAUGGGUUAAUCUACAAGUCUAGAGUGACUCUUAAAACUCCCCAGCGAAUAAUCAGAUAAACCUCUAAGAAUCAGACUCAAAGAAGUUUUUUAAGCCUGAUAUGACAUGACUUGGCAGUAACCUUUUUCAGAUACUAUUUCUCAAAAUUUAUUUCUCUUAAAAUUUCACUUUUACGUUUUAUUUGUUUUGACAUAAAAUAUUUUGUCUUAUUUGUCAAGAGUUGGGAGAUAGGGAAAUCAACCGGAGAUAGCAGGACAAGGGGAAAACAACUUAAGAGAUCGACACAGAUCAAUUUGGUUUUAAAACUAACAAUUUUUUCUGUGGACGCAGGUUAAUAGCUUUGCUUUAAAAUCAGCAAAUUCUUGCGAUGGAUGAAUAUGGAGAAGUCAUAGGAGGAGAAAACUAUCCAAAAAUCAUUAGUUUUCCUAGAAGCACUUAGCAUUUUAUAUCGCUUAUGUCGGAGAUUUGGGAAUAUGAAUUAUUUAUUUCAAUCAAUUUCCUACAACAUGAAAUUUAUAAAGAACGUGCAGCUAGAUUCGAAGGUGAAUCAAGCAAAAAUCUCAAUGAAGAGUUUACAGUUUCCGUAAAGGACAUCAUUUGCAUCAUAAUAUCGGAUAUGAUAUUAUGAAUUACCCUGAGGGAUCAGUUAUUUUAUUGCCGAUCAAGACAAUAUACUAUCUCGAAGUUAUUUUACCGAUAUCAUGAUUUGAGACGAUAUGCCUAUCCAGAAGGCACCAAAAAGAUCACUACGUUGCUCGAUUGAAGAACUGUCUUCAUUUGGUACCAAGGAUGACAUCAAGAAGUAAUAUUCAUGCGUUGCGAGUCAAUAUUUAUGCAUCGCGAGUCAAUAUUCAUGCAUCGUGAGUCAAUAUUUAUGCAUCGCAGAAGAUAAAUGUGACUAAUGGGAUGAAUUUAACAAAAAAUAUUGAUUUAAAAUCAAAAUAAAAAUAAAAACAAAUAUUUGAAUGUAUUUAAUCAGCUAAGAAAAAAGUGUAAUUAUGAUGAACUAAUAAUAAAUCCUAAAUUUUGACAAAUAAGGAUAGUUAUCGAUAAACUUGUUUUAACUUAUAAAAAAUAUAUAUUUUGAACUAUUCAAAAAAUAAAUUAAAAAAUUACAAAUAUUGAAAAUGUUAGGCCAAAAUUUGGUGUAAAUAGUUGUCCCUUUCGUUGGAUGUAAUUGAUGAAAGAAAUCGUAGACAACAAAAAUUGACAAACACAAUUUUGACAAAAAUACAUGACCUUUAUAUAAUAGUGUGUUUAAAAUGUAGUGGAUGUUGGACCCGAACUUGCAUCUAAAAGGUUCCCCGUAGAGUUGCGUACUUUUUGAAGUAAUCAGCAUAUGUGGCUCCACUGAGUGGGCAUCCUCUGGGAUGUUCUAUAAAAACAAAGAUAAGACUUAUUAGUAUAGAUAAAACUAAAAGAACAGGGUAUCAUCUCUUAUGCUAAGAUGAAUGGAUAUGAUCAAUCGCUAAGAUGUAAAUACAUCUCCAUUGGUAGGACGAUUGAAGAUGAUCCGUCGGAAGGAUUUCAAUGUAUGUCCAUCGGUAGAACAAAUGACAAAAGAAAGAAAAAAAGUAAUAAUCCAGCAAUAGGAUUUUGCAUGUUUGUCCAUCGGUAAGACAAAUAAAAAAAAGAUGAUCUAUUGGUAGGGUUUUACAAGUAUGUCCAUCGGUAUGACGAAUGAAAACGAUGAUCCAUCGGUAGGAUUUCACAUGUAGUUUCAUCGGUAGGACGACUUAAAAAGAUUAUCCAUCGAUAGGAUGAAUAAAAACGUUACCCAUCGGUAGGAUUUGAAUGUGUAUCCAUUGAUAGAAUAAAUGAAAAAAGAAAGGAAAAAAAUAAUAAUCCAUCGGUAGGAUUUUUGAUGCUUUCCCAUCGGUAGGUCGAACAAAAAAAGUUGAUCCAUUGGUAGGAUUUUGCAUGUAUGUCAUCGGUAGGACGAAUGUAAAACAUAAUCCAUCAGAAGGAUUUGAAUGUAUGUCCAUAGGUAGAAAAAAUUGAAAAAGAAAGAAGUAAAAUAAUGAUCUAUCGGUAGGAUUUUGCAAUUUUGCCCAUUGGUAGGACGAAUAAAAAAAAGAUUAUCCAUCGCUAGGGUAAAUGAAAAGGUGACCCAUUAGUAGGAUCUUAAUGUAUGUCCAUCGAUAGGACGAAUGAAACGAUUAUAUAUGGGUAGGACAAAUGUAGAUAUCUUUCAACACAAGUUUCCACUGACUUGCAUGUUUAAAAGAUAGGGUUCACAUCCUUCACCACCUUAUAGAUGCGACUUAAAUGCUAAUAUAUUUACACAAAAGUUUCCAACGACUUGCAUGUUUAAAAGAUAGAGUGUACAUUCUUCACCUUCGAAUAUAUGCUACUUAAAUUCAAGUAUCUUUCAACGCAAGUUUCCACCGACUUGUACGUUGCAAAGAUAUGGUACACAUCCUUCACGAUUAAAUAAAUGCAACUUAAAUGCAAAUAUCUUUCAACGCAAGUUUUCACCGUCUUGAACGUUUAAAAUAUAGGGUUUACAUCCUUUACCACCGAAGAAAGUCCGACUUAAAUGCAAAUAUCUUGCAGCGCAAGUUUCUACCUACUUUAACAUUAAAAAGACAUGGUUCACAUCGUUCGCCACCGAAUAGAUGUUACUUAAAUGCAAAUAUCUUUCAACGCAAUUUUCCACUGACUUGAACGUUGAAAAUAUAUGGUGCACAUCCUUAACCUCCAAAUAGAUGCAACUUAAAUGCAAAUAUCUGUGAAAAUAAGUUUUCACCGACUUGAACGUUAACAAGAUAUGGUGCACAUCCUUCACCACCGAAUGGAUACGACUUAAAUGAAAAUUUGUUUCGACACAAGUUUCCACUGACUUGAACGUUGAAUAGAUAGGGUACACAACCUUCACCUAUGAAUAUAUGAGACUUAAAUGCAAUGGCCUUCUUGGCGAAUGAAAUAUGCGAAGACCGUUUCGGUAAAUGAAAAAUGAACGACUUUUUUGGUAAAUAAAAAAUUCUAUGACCCUUUUGGAAAACAAAAAUGUAGCGACCUUCUUGGUAAAAAAAUGUAUGACCCUUUUGGUGAAUAAAAAAUGCAUAACCUUUUUGUUAAAUUAAAAAAGCAAGGCCCUCUAGGCAAAUAAAAGUGCAAAUGAUGGAUGACCCCAUGAUUUCUCAGUAUAACGAGGUUGAUGAUUCGUGUGUCUUAAAAAUGUCGUCAUCUCGAUGAUUUCAUGUGUCAUUCUAUUUGAAUAGGAAAAUUUAGAAGACAUAAUGUCUUUUUAGCCAACAACAUGAUUAACAAACUUUAAGGAAAGCUUGACAAGAGAAUAUGUACAAAGUUCCUUUCACUUUGGCAAAAGUGAGCAAUCAUUAUUUUGAUCUUGAACGCUUCAUGCUCUUUGAAACUCAUAUUUUAUUGAAGAUAUGUAUGAGGAGUUGUUGACUUUCCAUGACAAUGCUGAAGAUUCGCAAGUUGACUUUGAGCUUCAAGCGCUAAAGGAUCAUUUGAAGUUGGCUAUAAAUCUUCUUGGAGUAUUUAUUGGAUUUUUCAAAGUCUUUCUCAAAAAUUCUUUCCCAAUUAAGACUUUUGGAAAAUAUCAAAAUGAUCUCCAAUCUUGACUUGCUGGAGAAAACACAUUUUUUGUGAAUUUUUGAAAUAUUCUCAAAAAUUCUGUCCUAGUGUUUUUUUGCAAGGAGAAAUAAAAAUUACACUUGGUAUAUGACAGAGCCAUCGUGGCACCUACAUAUCCUAUCGAUUGAGGAAUCAAGUCACAUGUAGUUUUAAUCCUGUAGAUGAUAUACUUUAAAUAAUCUGAGAGACUAUCAGUAGAAAAUGUACACUAUGAACAUGAUGAAAUAUGAUAAUAAUAUUCCAUAUGAUAUUUAAAGCAUAGAAAUGAAAGAAAUGUAACAUUUUUGGGACAGACAACCCCAUAAAGUAAAGUAGGACUCUCACACAUACAAGAUUAAUCUAAUAACACUUUUUUACAAAAAACAACUCAAAAAGGUAAUUUCUUCUUUUUUAAUGGAAAGACUCUAAAAAAGGGUUGAAAAAAUAUUAAAUAGUGGGUGCUUGCUCACUUUUUUUUCUUUUCUAUUUGAAAAAUAAAAAAUGUGAUGAAAUAGUCAAAUCUUGACUACAAUUUGUACCAACAGUUAGGAUUACUUGUAAAUCUCUCAUUUUUUUUCUCUUUUUCUAAUUAAGAUUUAAUUUGAGGUAAUUAUACAGCUUCAAGUGUUACCUCAAACAUACUUAAUGAUCAACAAGAUUAGUUCAUCUUACUUCAAACACAUAUUUUGAAUUGCACCAGUCCUCAUAAUUUAAGUUCCCUCACGAAAAAACUCGUCCUAUAUAACACAUAUUUGAAACAUUUAAUUUUAGGACAUUUUUUCAAAGUGAAGUCACACUCACAAAAAUGAUCAAUGCAUAUAACUGUGAUACCAUAUGCUGGACCUUAAUGUAAAUUCCCACUAAUUUGAAAAUGUUUGGAAUGAGAUCAUGUAGGAUUUUCAUUGGCUUCUAAUGUAGGAUCAUGUAUGGGUAGGAUAUUUAUUUGGGAUAAAAGUGAAAUUUCUCCUUGAGUGUCAAAUUGAAUCGUGCCCUUAAUGCUUGAUACGCCUUUGGUGUCAGAUCAUCUUCAUUGUCCUCCCCUCUUUCGACUUCUUUUAAAUUCUCAUUUUUGGAACUUUUUCCUUCUUUUUUUUUUCAUCCCCUUUGUUUUGACUUCUUUUGAGACCUUAUUUUUUUGGAGUUUUACUUUUAUUUCAGCCCUUUCCUUCGACUUCUUUUAAGUCCUCAUUUCUUGGAUCUUUUCUUUUAUUUCACUACUUUCUUUUGAAUUUUUCUCCUAUGUUGUUGGAGUAUUAUUUUUUUCCUUGUUUAUCACUGAACUUGCAGGGGUAUUUGUGUCUUUCUUUAUUUCUUUCAAUUUUUUUCUUUCGUUCUUUCUUUCCUCUUUUUUUUUUCAAUAGAAAUCUUUUUUUGCUUCUUUGACUUUGGGAUACUUGAUAUUUUUGCUUUUCAAAAUUUCCAACAUGGAUCUUGUCUUAUAUUUGCACAUUCUUGGUGCACUCAUGGAGGUUGGAUCAAGUGAGGGAUAGAGAAUGUAAGCACAUAAAAGGUUAAUGGCUAAAAUGUGGUUGUAUAAAGAAAGAUUUCAGGUUCAAAGUGGCAAAACUAGGGAUUAAUGUCAUUUGGUAGUCUUUGAAAGGACAAUAGGGUCAAAAAAAGGUUUACAAUCCUUUCUUAAAUUAAAAAUUACUACGGAUUUUGCCUCAAUAACAUUCAGGCUACGUUCUAAAUCAAAAGUGUGAUACAAUUGAAUUUUGAUCUAAAAUCUCACCACACAACACACAUGAAACAUAAGGUUUGUUUUAUACAUGCAAGUGAAUUUUAAAGAAUCACAAAAUUAUAAAUUAGAGGUACCAAAAGAAUCUAUGGUUUACCACAAAUUCAGUCCGCUCCAUCGUAUCAAAUACUUUAACACGCUCCUAACUACAUUGGUUCCAAAUAAGUUGAAUACAUUACUCUUACGAUAUAUACAAAAUGUUCUUUUAAAGAAUAAAUACCGAACCCAAAAAGGGUUGCCUACGUAUCUCGUUGAACUGAGAAUCAGGUGUGCGUAAUUCAUGCAGAUAAGGUUUUGAAAAUAUGCACACAAUAUUAUUCUAUUACUUUUUUUUUACUUUUGAGAAAAUGGAUACCGAACCCAAGAAGAGUUGCAUACGUAUUUCAUUAAGAUGAGAAUUAGGUGUGCGUAUUUCAUGCAGUUAUGCCUUUGAAAAUAUGCACAAAUUAUUCUAUUUUUUAACUUGACUAUAUAAGUGUAUGUUGGUCACAUUGAUGAUGUUAUUAUAGUGUAUUUGAUGACUUGAAGAUGAUAAUGUAUCACGAGUUAAAAUGAAGUGUGGUGUCCUGUCUUGGUUGACUUGUGUCCCUUACUUGAUGUAUAUAUGAUUAUGGAUAAGUGAUAUCUUGACUUAGGAUGUUAAAGGUCUUAUUCUUCAAUGUAUGAAUGAUAUGUGACCUUAAAUAAAGUUAAGAGGGUCUUUUAUGUGAACCUUGAACCAAGUGGUAAGGUUAUAUAUGUUGAAUUCAUAACCCGUCAUGGUUUCCUUCAAAGUAAAGGAAUUAUGGACUUGAGAUUAAUUCAGUGGAAAGGCAUAAUAUUAAUCCUUAGGAAAGACAUCAUGAUCUUCUUGUCGCCAUUGGAAGGUAGACUUAAGAGGACCUCUUUGGUAGGUUAAAUGUAAUAGGGUUAUGAACUUGUUAUGCAACCCUUUUAUGUGAACAUUAUGUGUGUAUUACUCUAUGAGAAGGAAGGCUAGCACUGAGUGAGUAUGGUAAGAGAAGUUCUAGUUAAGAAUGAGACUAUAUUACAAAGCAUUCCCUUCACAUUCCUUAACCAUGUGCCUACAUGGAAUGUGUUUUAGUUCUACCAUUGGCAAGUAGAACACCCUCAUUGGAUUAGGUUAGAAAUCCCGAUUCCAUGUCUUGAUAUCAUGGUCUAUGUCAGUUAUUGCCUAUUCUCCUCAUGUAGGAUACGUACUAGCAUUGGAGAAGUUCUUUGAAGUUUAGGUAGUGGUAUGAGACUCUAUCUAGACAUUGCAUAAAAGGCUUUGAAGGUGCUUGUUAGAGUCCAUAGGUCUUGUAUAAGACCAUUACUUGAAUGUCCUUUAUUUGAUGUAUGAGUCUUAAUGAACUAAUGACUUAUGUUAUCAAGUACAUUUAUAGAAUAAGUAAUUAUCUAGAGUAGUUAAGGGUUGUCUAGUUAAGGUGUGAAUGGGGCAUAGGAAUGGACAAUUUGUAUCUUACCUAGAUGAGUCUUAAGAAUGAUUCUAGUUAGAAAAGAUGUUGAUUAUGUAGACAUGGCCCGAACUUAGGAAGUCUUACUGAUUGUUUAGGUUGUCUUGAAGAGGUUAAUCAUGGACAUUAUCUUCUCUAUCUACCUAAGUAAGUAUUUUGAUAGCCUUUGAUGAGGAAAUGUCAUACUAUCUAUAUGUUGAUAUGUUGAUGUCUUGAAGUGUGUAUAUGACUUAUUAUAAGUGUUCUUGAGGGUCAUUUGAGUAAGCUUACUAUGGGUGUUCUCUCUUUGUGCUUCUUAAGUGGUUACUAGGAUAGAUUUUAGUGAGGAGAUUACAUGCUAGAAGAAGUUAAAAGUGAAGACAAAUUACUUUGCUGUAACAGUGAAGGACUUCAAUGUACUGUGAAGUGAAGCUACUAUAAAGUCCUUCCAAAAAUAUGUUAAAUUGCUUAAAUGUUAUCGUAUGAUUUUUGAAGUUGUUAAAUGUUGUUCUUAAUGAUUUUUAAAUGAAUACAUGCAUAUUUCUACUAAAUGUCCAAAUUGAUGAUUUUUAUGCAUUAUGCCAUACUUAGUACAUGUGGUUAUACUAAUCCAUGCUUUUAUUUAUCUCUAUAGUUGUUGGUAGGUGAGGAGCUUUUGGGAAGUGAAGAUUUGGACUGUAGCAUCGUUCAAGAGAAGUCGAAGUAUGUCCUUUUUUGAUUCGAGGGUAUAGAUGUCUUUUAUGUUUCUGAAUGAAGUAUUAUAAUAGACUAAGUAUUUCUAUAUUAGUAUUGUAUAUGGGUCAUGUUCCAUGUAUUCUUGUGUCUUAUGAUAAUUGAGAUUGAGACUUAGUAUUUCCUAUGACUUUAUAUGUAAGAGAUUUUUAAAGACUAUGAUAUGUUUUUUGGUAAUGUUUUAAAUUCCGCACUACUUUUCACAAUGUUUAUGCGAUGAAUGAUAUGUAAGGACUUGUGCAAGACCUUUGAGAGGUCAAGUACACCGGUUGAAAUCCGAGAUUGACCCUAACUUCUAGGGUGUGGUUUUGGGAUGUGACAAGCUUGGCGUCAGUGCAUAGGUUGUGAAAUUAUUAUUAGGAAUCGAAAAGUCGCAUCAAGUCAUGUCUAGUAUAUUUUGACCAUCGGUGUGAGUCGCGACACAUCUUUUGGCAACAGGCUAUAGAACGAUAGAGUUUUCCUUCUUUUCUACUCGUAUGUCGUGCCAUAGAGUAAAAGUUAUAAGUACUCUUUUCUUAUGGGUUUCAUUGUGUUUCUAAGAAGAUUAAUACGAGGAGGACACCGGCUUGGAGAGUUGAAGAGAAUGAGGUGCAAGAGGAGAUUCCUCCUCAAGUUGAGGAAGUUGAGAAAGUUUCUCAAGGUGAUCAAGGUGAUCGAGUCCCUAUUGUUGGAGGAGGUGAGGAGCCCCCAGAGUUGAAUAAUAGGGAUAUUAGUGAGGGUUUGCUUUCUUUAUCUAAAUCUAUGACUACUAAAGUGAAUUUGACUGUGGUGCCAAGGGAGAAUGUUGUGAAUGUCUGUUGGGUACCGACAGUUACUAUGGUUGUGGUAAUGAAGUACAUAAGGUGAGAGAUUCCUAUGGUUGCUUUUAGAUAAAGAGAGGGUAAGAAAGUUAUUCCUAGUAUUUCAAAAGAUGAUGAUCCAACAAAGAGGCAUUUCUAUGCACUCUGAACUAGAGGUUUAAAGACGGAUGAGAAUAGUGAUGAUGACGAGGCUAAGUCCUUGUUUUUCUCUUUUAGUGAUAUGAGUUCCUUCUAAGUUGGGGGAAUAUGUUAGAAUAUGGGAUAAAAUGAUAUCGAAGCAUGUUGUAUGUAUAUGGUGUUUAGGAGUUUUGUUGAAAUUGAAUUAAUUAACUUCUUGCAUAGUGUCUUUUAUGAAGUUAUGAUCAUGUUGUAAUAUGUGUUUACAUGAUGUUAUCUUUGAUAUUAACAUGUUCAUAUCAUGAGUUGAAUAAAAGUUGCAUUUCAAUUUUCCUAAAUUUUCACUGUCUAUUCACUGUAAAAAUUUUCAAAAUUGGACUAAUUGAUUCUUUGGUCUAAAUAUAUUGUAAUGUUGUUAUAACUAAUGUAUCUAUGAGUAUAAUAUUGAGCAUAAAAUAGGUUUUUCGUUAUUUGGAGUGAAGCAUAUGAGUUUUCUAGCAUGAAGAGUUAUUGAAUUAUUUUCUAGUUUCUUGUAGUGUUAAAAAUCUCUUAAUUAUGUGAAAUUGAUGUUUUCUUCUUGGUUAUGUGUUAUAUGAUAUGUUUAUGAUCUCCUAGUUAAAUCUCUAUUCUUGAAAGUGUUAAGAGAGUGACAAGUGUCAUUCGAGGACAAAUAUUGUCCAAGUGGGGGAGAAUGGAAGACCCCGAAAAUGACUAAGAUGAACUAGAACCUAACAUGUUGGUCAUUAUGUUCUAAGGUCAUAAAAAGAUCUAUUAUAUUGUAUUGAGGUAGUUUUUAAGCGUUUAGGUGCAUUGGAAGUUAAACAUCAAGGGAUGACUAAGACGUUGGACGACGAAGUCACCUAUGUGCCUUAUAUGUGGUUUUAUGAAUUUAUGUAUGAUUCAUGAGGUUUUACGGUUUUUAAAUGACUUAUUAUAGCAUAUAUAGGAAGUGUGUCAAGUUUCGUGGAGUUUGGAGGUCAAAUGUCGAACAACGUCCAUGACGUUCGAAAGUGUUUCCUUGAAAUGACCUUGUGUGUCUAAGCAUGUUUCAUUGAGUUUUACGUGUUCGUUUUGGAUAAAAUUUAUGUGAGAAGUUCUCAACACAUAUACUAUCUUGUUUGGGUUGGAAAACUCAAGGAAAACAUCCCCAAGGACCAUCCAGGGGUCCUUGAGGAAAGACCCAUGAUGUGUGGCCAAAACUGCCUAAGGCAAUACACUUACGGAUGACAAUUGACAACCAGUGGCCUGGUCGAUGCCCUCUAGGUGGUGGGCGUCAUUUGGUAAUUAGAAUGUGGAGCUAAUCUACCAAUUUAAAGUCUCUGAACCCAUCGACGGAGGACAGGGAGGCCCAUGUAUGGACCUAUGCCCCGUCGAUGGGCAACCGUCGAUCAUGGUCUGUGUUCCUGCGCAGGUCACUGUUAUGUGAGGGGUGAUAGUGUAAUUUCACCCCACUUAAAAAUAACAGUAUUGGCGUUUAUUUUAAAAAUGUAUAUAAGUAUUUAACACUUAAAAGAUUUCAUUCUUGCAAAUCAAAACCCCAAAUCCCUUAGAAUUCUCUCUAAGACUCUUUUGAAGUCCAAAGUCAAAGAGUACCUUGGUGUGACAAAUUGAGUGGAGAAUCCUCAUCAAAGUGAAGAAUUGGUUUCAUCAAGGUAAGGAUUGAUCCUUUAAACUCUCUUCAUCAAGAAUCUCCAAUUCUCAAUAUGUUUUUCUAAAGUUUUCAAGUUGGAUUGUCCAAUUUAAUAAUUCUACCAUGGGUUCUUGCAUUAAUGAUUUCUAAAAAUUGAAUAAUGAUUUAAUUGACAUUGUAUUUUUUAUUUUAACAUAAAUUACAUAAAAACCCAUGAAUUGGAUAAACCCUAGAUUUUGACUAAGUUAUGGGUUACUUGAUAUUGACCUAUUGUAUAUGAAUUAUGCUAUAGAUUUCCAUGGUCUUUCUAAUGAUGCAAUAAUUGUAUUCAAUUGAUAUCUAUGUUGUAUUAGAUUGAUGAAUUUACAUUAAAUUGAUGUAAUUUCAUUUAUUAUUAUAGUUUUUAUGUUGAUUUGAUGUUCAUGGCCAUGAGUAAGGGCCUUAUGUUAUUGAAUUGGAUGAUUUAUCAUCAAGUUGAGGUGUUGAUGAUGUUGUAAUUGUAAGAUGACCUAUUACCUUUAUGUUUAUGUUGUUUAUGCUUCAAUUAUAUUGUAAUUAUUAUGGUCCAUUUAUGGUGGCGGUGUUCUGUGUUUUACUUGCAAUUGACGUGGCCUUGUCGGUGUUACUUUAUGCAAUAUGAUAAUGAUGGCCUUGUGGGUACUACUUGAAGUAAUGUGGCUAUUUGUAUAGUUGAUUAUGUGACAAAUGAUAAUAUCUAUCUAUAUGUUAAACAAUGAGAAAGUAUAUGUGCUUUAUUGAUGAUAUGUAGGUGAUCAUGUUAGACUAUGACUUUGACCUUGUGUGUAUAGUCUUAGGGUUGAGUUUUGGUUAUUCCUACUUGAAUAUAUAAUUCUAUGUUGGUAACAUUGAUGAUGUUAUGAUAGUGUAUAGGAUGAACUGAAGAUGAUAUGGUUAAAUUUGUGUUUCUAGAAUGGCAUUUAUCAUGAGUUAAAGUGAAGUAUGUGGUGUAUUGUCUUGGUUGACUUGUGUUUGUUACUUGAUGUAUAUAUGAUUAUGGAUAGGUGAUGUAUUGAAUUAGGAUGUUAAAUCUAUUAGUCUUGAAAGUAUGAAUGAUAUGUGACCUUAAAUGAAGUUAAGAGGGUUUUCUAUGUGAAACCUUGAACCUAGUGGUAAGGUUAUGAAUGUUGAAGUCAUAAUCCGUAAUGGUAUCCUUCAAAGUAAAGGAAUGAUGGAAUUAAGGUUAUUUGGAUGUAAAGGCAUCAUAUUAAUCCUUAGGAAAGUCAUUAUGAGCUUUUUGUCAUCAUUGGAAGGUAGACUUGAGAGGACCCGUUUGGUAGGGUAAAUGUAAUAGGGUUAUGAACUUGUUAUGGAACCCUUUUAUAUGAACCUUAUGUGUGAAUUUUUCUAUGAGAACGAGUCUAGAACUGAGCGAGUAUGGUAAGGGAAGUAGUUCUUAAUAAGAAUGAUACUAGAUUACAAAGCACGCCCUUGAUAUUCCUUAACCAUGUGCCUACAUGGGAUGUGUCUAAAAUCUACCAUUGGCAAGUAGAGCACCCUCACCGAAUUAGGUUAGAACUCCAGAUUCAUGUCUUGCUAUCAUGGUCUAUGUCAUAUAUUGCCUAUUAUCAUCAUGUGGGAUACUUACUAGCAUUAGAGAAGUUCUUUGAAGUUUAGGUAGUGGUAUGGGAGACAUAACACAAUAGGCUUUGAAGGUGUUAGUUAGAGUCCCUAGGUCUUGUCUAAGACUAUUACUUGAAUGUCCUUUAUGUGAUGUAUGAGUCUUAAUGAAUUAAUGAUUUAUGUUAUGAAGUAUGUAAAUGGAACAAGUACUUCUCUAGAGUAGUUAAGGGUUGUGUAUUUAAGGUGUGAAGGAGCUAUAGGAAUGAUCACCUCGUAUCUUACCUAGAUGACACUUAUGAAUGAAUCUAGUUAGGGAAGAUGUUGAUUAUGUGGACAUGAUCCGAACUUAGGAUAUCUUAUGUAUUAUUUUGGUUGUCUUGAAUAGGCCAAUCACGGACAUUAUCUUCUUGAUAUACUUAAGUAAGUCCUUUGAUAGCCUUUGAUGUGGAAAUGUCAUAUUAUAUAUAUGUUGAUAUGUUUGAUGUCUUAAAAUGUAUGUGUACUUAUUAUAAGUGUUUUUGAGGGUCAUUUAGGUAUGCUUAGGGAGGUUUUAUGGGCGGUCUCUCAUUGUGUUGCUUAAGUGGGUCUUAGGAUAGCUUUUAGUGAGACAUGCUUGACGAAGUUAAAAGUGAAUAAAAAGUACUUCACUGUAAUGGUGAAGGACUUCAUUGUACAGUGAAGCAAAGCUAUUGUAAAGUGCUUCCAAAAAUAUGUUAAAUUGCUUAAAUUUUAUCUUAUGAGUUUCUAAGUUGUUAAAUGCUGUUCUUAUGAAUAUAAUAUUAUUUUUAAAUGAAAAGAUGCAUAUUUCUACUGAAUAUUCAUUUUCAUGAUUUUUAUGCAUUAUGUCAUACUUAGUACAUGUGGUUGUACUAGCUUUUAUCUAUCUUUAUAGUUGUUGGUAGGUGAGGAGCUUUUAGGAUGUGAAGACUUGGACCGUAACAUUGUUCAAGAGAGUCCGAAGUAUGUCCUUAUUUGAUUCGAGGGCAUAGAUGUCUUUUAUGUUUCUUAAUAAAGUAUAGUAAUAGACUAAGUAUUUUUUUAUUAGUAUUGUAUAUGGGCCGUGUCCUAAGUAUUCUUGUAUCUUAAGAUUGAUGAGAUGUAUAUGCUAUGACUUUAUAUGGAAGAGAUUUUUAAAUACUAUGAUAUGUUUUGUGAAAACUUUUAAUUCCAAACUAGUUUUCACUAUGUUUAUGCGAUUAAUGGUAUGUAAGGGCUUGUACAAGACCUCUGAGAGGUCAAGUACACCGAUUUCAAUCUGAGAUUGCCCCUAACUUCUAGGUUGUGGUUUCUAGAUAUGAAAAGAAUCCAUCAAAGGAGGACCCAAAGGAUGUCGACUCACUGGCACGGAAAUGUCAAUUGACUAAAUCAAACAACACCCCGUUUGUUGACAAACAGCCCGUUGUUGGUGAAGUCGUCAAUCAACACUUAUCCUGGGGAAUGCUAGGCGAAGGAACACCCAAAACCCAAUCGACGGAAGCCACAGACGUUCCGUUGAUGGAACUACUCGGCAUCGAUGGUGGCCAUUGAUGCAUGCUUUACCAGGCUGCGUAGCGACUGUUUUAUUUAAGGGGUGAAUGGGAAAUUUACCCCACGUCAUAACCUGACCCUAUUUUGUUUAUUUUAUUAUUUAUUGGUGUAUUUAAAUGAUAAAUAACAUGAUCAAUCCGUUCUCAAUUCAUUCUACAAAAUAUUAGACUUCCCCUCCAAAACCAUUUCUCUCUAGAAGCCUCAUUGAAGGUGAAACUCAAGAAUAGCUUGGAGCUUGGAUUUACAUGGAAUCAUCAUCAUUUUUAUAGGGUUCUUCUAAAUAAAGGUACGGUAAUCCUUCAUAUCUAGUUAUCCUUUCAUCUAGAGAGUUAAUCUCAAUGUUUUCAAAGAGAUUUCAUGAUCAAAUUCUUCUUCUUCAAUCUUGCCAUGCGUUCUUUCUCAAAAAGUUUUCAAAUGAUUAAUCAUGAUGAUUUUAUGAUAAUGUAUUGGUUUUAAUGUGAAAUUAAGUUCAAUUGCAUUAUGAACCCAUGUCCCUUCCCAAACUUGAUUUAGCCUAUGCAUGGGCAUCGUGAUCGGUGCUUGUUGUUGGUGGAUUUAUGAUUCUAUUAUGUUGAAAUUCUCAUGUAUACAGUUAGUUGAUGAAUGAUCCAUUUGGAUCAGUCUAUGAACAUUUUAAGAAAGCUAGCUCAGAUAUCUAGGUGUUCACUGUAACAUUGCCUUUGUAAUGAAUGAAUUUCAAAUUCGAUUAUGUUAUUAUGAUUGUAGCUAAUGACUUAGGUUAAUAUAAUUGUUGAAUUGUGAGUAUAAAUAAUUUAUGAAAGUAACGAAGUGUUAAUAUGAAUUGAUCUAGGUUCAUUAGCCUAUUGAUUGAUAAUGCUAUGCAGGUGAUGUGAUCUCGAUUUUAGGUUAGAUAAAGCAUGACUCCUUUUGAUUAAUGAUCUCUUUAGAAACUGCCUAACAAUUAUAUUAUUGUUAAAUAUGAUUGAUGAUCAAGGUUUUACGGAAUUAGUAGGAUUGCCUAUUUCCUCUAUUCUCUAUUGAAUUUAUUGUUUAAUGCCUAUGUUGGUAUCUUGAUCUUGUAGGGAAUUAACUAUGAUUUCGUUUAUGUUAAUGUAUAUGUAGAUACUACCCUUUACUGAUACAAUUGGUGAAAUAUGAUUAAUGAUCCAUGCAAGUGAAAUUUGUUCAUGGCCUAUCUCCUUCUACCUUCUAGUAUGUUAGUGAUGUGUUGUACUAGUUUGUAGCAUGUCCUCAUAGUAGCUUAUGCAUGAGUUCGUAUAUGAUUAUUGUACUUUAGAUACUUCCCUACACUUGAAUUAUUGAUGAAAUAGUAGUAAUGGUCAAUGAUGACCAAAGUCUAAACGAUUGAUAAGAAUUGCUCUAUUCUUCUACUUCUCUACUUCUCUAUAAUAUUGUUGAUAGAAAUUGCCUUGUAUGACAUUGUGUGGUAUGGUCAAGUUAUGGUGGCGGAUUUCAAUUUAUUAUCAAUAUAUAUGUGAUAUGAUCAUGGCCUUGAAGGCAAAUUACUAUGAACGUGUGUUGGUGAUGAAUCACCCUAUGUGAAGCUUAUGCCUAGUUUCCUAUUAUUACUAUGAUCUUGGUUGUGUUGCUAAUUUCAAGAGCAUGUAAAUGGUUAUAAAAAGUUUCUGUGUACUUGCUUCCUAUGAUGAGGUUCUAUAAUAAUCUAUGUGAAGUAAAGCUAAAAUAGGUUUAUGAAGACUAGAGCUUACUGUAAGAAUGUUGUAAGUCUUGAAUAAAUGAGUCUUAAUCUAUGCUAACCAUUCUAUGAUGUGGGUGAUGCAUCAUUCACUAGGAUGACUUCAUCGGUGUACUAGAAUGGAAAAGGGUCCUUGUCUAUGCAUUGCACAUGUAUACCUUGAUAGGAUAGUUCCUAGGUUGGUCUUCCAAGUACAUGCAUAGGAUUGUAUGAACAUGUUAUGAAUAUGACUUACAUGAUAUGAUGUUAAGUAUAUGAUAUGAUGAAAUAUGAAUGUGCAUGUGUUUAUACGAAAGGAUUGCUCAUAUAGUUAUACCUAUGGACUUGUGCAUUGAUAUAUGAACAUGUGUGACAUUUAUUUGUUAUGUGAAAGGUUUGCUCACAUACAAGUAAACACAUACACGUGUAUGAAGAUCUAGUCAAUAGAGGGGCCUUGAAAAGUGUGCUCAUGUGUACCCUAAAACUAAAUAGGUGCUUGAAAAUGCAAUAAGCAUAUAAGGUAUUAAUGUACUAAUCCUAUGAUAUAUGAAUUAAUGUAAUAAAGACUUUUCAAUAAAGGGAACUUAGCUUAGCACCGAGUGAACUUGACAAUGAGAGGUGUUCGCUUCCCUUGGAGGAAAAUUCACCAUUGGUUUCUCAUAGAGUGUUGACUUCACUUGGAGGAAGAUUCACCACUGGGUUCCCAUAAGGUUUAAAUUCCCUUAGAGGAAUAUUCACCUAUGGUACCACAUGAGGUGGCGGCUUCACUUUGGGGAAGGCUCACCCAUGGUCUCUCAUGAGAUCAGGCUCCAAUGCUUAUGAACAUGUAGAGGGUCAUGUAUAUCUCUUAGUUCCAUUAACUAUGCUUGAUAAUAGGAUCUAUCAAGUGAAUUCACUUAGCAUGCUAGCAUGUGUCAAUGCUCUACUUUUUCUAGGUAAGAGCACCUUCUAUUGGUGUAAGACUCUACAACACCAAAUUCCAUGUAGCACCCAUGGUAUUAGUGUCGAUUAAGGCAAUAAUUUCAUUAAAGUAAAAUUGAAAAUCGAAGUAAAAUAAGGACUCUAACUAGGAUAACCUAAGGGUAGUUGCUUACUGUAGGUUGGUUUCAUAUCCAGGGAGCACCCCUUAGAAGUAACAUGGAAUAUUUGACCUCUCGGAGGUCUUAUACAAGCCCAUAAUUAUCAUUCAUCGCAUUAUCACUGUAAAUUUAGUGGAAAAUUUGAAACUCUCUUAACACAUCAUAUGCUAGUACAUUAAUUCAUAGAUAUAUAUAAAAUAUCAUAUUACAUACUCAUACUAUAAGUCUGUUUGGCAUCUUAGACUCAACAACGUUAGAAUACAUUAGGGACACGACCCUUAAAACAUAAUACAUAAGUAUACAACUUAUAAAACUUUACAGUAAACAUAAGUAGGGAAUCCUUGGAACAUAAUGACCCCUUUCCUUAAGCUUGGGCAUCACAUAACAAUCUCCUCAAUCGUAUAUACAUCCUAUAAGAAUCCAUAACUUACAGUUUGUGUUAAAAGUUUACAAGAAUAGGAUUACUACAAGAAUGACAAAAUAUGGCAACCAUGCAAAAAUAUACAUUAAAAAGGGAUAUUUUCUUGAAAUCGUACUUCAUACCUUUUUGAGUAAAUCUUUAUAAAACCUUUAGACAAUUGCAUUUAUAUCAUUCACUUAAUUAAUAUAGACGUAUUCAAAGGCCAAACAUCAUAGAAAAACACAUAUACAAUUCAAGUCAUUUUUGAGUCACAUUACAGUAAGCACUUUUUUAUACAGUGAGUAUUUUCCUUUCUUAGUAAACUUCUUUCCGUUUACUCAUUAAUCUCCCAAGUAACCCUCUUGUGAUACUUGGUGCAAUGCAUCACCUUAAGGUAACAGGAAAGAAUACAUACAACCUACAUAAGCCAACACAUAUAAUCAUAUAAGCAUAAUAUAUAAAAGAUACAUUUAUGUCAAGACUCUAUUGGCUUUAUAGUAAGUUACAUCAAUUUGCACAUAUAUUGACAUCACUUCACAUAAAUCAUUAUAAGACCUUGUUCAUGACCCCAAUCCUAGUCUUCUAGUGCAAUGUACAUGUGAAGCCCCACAACCCCAUACAUAGUUAGUAAAACCUUCAUGAGACCACAAACAUUAUCAUUCAUUCAUUCAUCAACAUACUAAGUGAAGACAACCUCAUUCAGGUGAACAAUCUUCAUCAUAUAGUCCUUACUACGCAAAUAGUUUAUAUAAGAAUAAGACCACAUCACAUAGACUCAUACCAUGCACAUCUUCAUGACAAGUAGACAAAUACUACCAUGACAUGCAUAAAGACAUAACCAUGCACAUUAGAACACCUUCCUAGAACUUCCUAAGGAUCUACUUUUGCAAUGUAUAGAUGAAUUUAUUACUUCCACCUAUACUAAGUAACCUCCAUUAUGUCAUCCUAGUUGGGGUCCUAGUCAUUACUUCCAUUGUCCAUUUUUCUUUAGAGAAACAAUAGCCUUAAAUGACAGUAAGACCAUGGGUGCUAAACAUGGAAUUUGGUGUUGUAGAGUCUUACACCAAUGCAAGGUGUUCUUACCUAGCCAAGGUAGAACAUUAACACAUGCUAGCAUUUUAGUUGAUAUUACAUUGGUAGAUUCUAUGUGUAAAAUAUAGUUUAUGGAACUUGGGGACAUCAUUGAAACAUCAACUCUAACACCCUUUUGGGUCAUGAGGCUAUCCACUCUGUGAGGACUAUGGUGACCUACCUUUGUAUAAUAGGAAGGGACACCCCUCAUUUUCAAGUUCACUCAGUGCUAAGCUGAGUUCCUUUCUAUUCAAAUACUUCAUUAACAUUACUUUAUAAAAUAUAGGCUUAGGAAAUUCAUCCCCUCAUAUGCUUAGCUCAUAGGUUAUACAUGAGAAUUCAUCAACCUAAAUCAUGUGAGAAACCCUUUCACAUGGAAAUAUCAUAUAUCAUUAGCACUAUCUAAUUUAGGAUAAACUUGAGCACACCUUUCAAGGUUUGUCUAUUGAGUAGAUCAUCAUUCAUGUGUGUGUAUACAUAUAUGUGAGCAGACCUUUCACAUAGCACAUUGAGGUCACACAAGUUCAUACAUCAAUCCGAUAUGUAUAACUAUAUGAGAAAUCCAUUCAUAUAAAUCCACUAAGACACUAUGAACAUUCAUACUUCACCAUAUCAUAUAAAUCAUAUUCAUAAUAUGCUCAUACAUUCAUUUUCAUGUACAUAGAAACCUAAACUAGAAACUAUCCUAUCAAGGCAUACAUGUACAAUGCAUAGGCAAAGUCCCAUACCCUUGCCCAUACUAGUACACCUAUCAAGUAAUCCUAGUUAAGGAAACACAUACAAUAAAUUCAUAGAUAUCAUCUUGACAUGCAUAGUAGUAUACACUAGUGAAUAUUAGAACUACCUUUUAUUUAGACACCAUGACUUAUACUACUUGUAACCAUUCAUAAUGUGUAAGUGUGUGUACAUUGGUCAACAUGAUCAUACAAUGGCUAUAACAUCUUGAGGCAGCCACCCUCUUAAGACCAUAAUGCACAACAAAGCAUAUACCACACAACGCCAUUUAAUAUAGGAGGCAAGUCAUUCUUCACAUUACAUUCAGGAUUCCUAACCUUACAUAUUCACACAUUCACAUAAGGGUACAUGGUAGGGUUUAUCAAUACUUCAUACUUCAAUAAUUACAUCACCUACACAUGAACUUAUCAUAACCAUUUACAUGCUCAUAAAAAUAGUAGCAUAACCUAGAUUUAAAACUAAAGUAGAAGACUAGGCACAAGUUACACAUAAGGUGAUCAUCAUAACCACUCAUUCAUAUAUUCAUCAAUUUUCCUUCAAAUAUAUGGUAAACACAUAUAUAAUAAAAAUAAAUUAAACACCGCCACCAUAAGUGGACCGUAAUGCACAAUGACAUACAAGGCUUCAUCAACAUUACAAUAAUGAAGAAGAAGAGAAGAGUCAUUCUUACCAAUUCAUCAAUCUUUGAUCAUCAUUGAUCAAUACACCUUUUUAAUAAUUAAUACAUUAUAGGUAAGGAUCUAUAUGUACUUAAAUAAUAAAAGAAACCACCUACAGGUCGUUACAAGAUCAUGAUACAACUAGUGCACUAUUUCACAGAUAUGGUAGAAACUAAAGAGUUAUAGAUCAUCAAUUAACUUCUCUAGUUUUGCUCAGCAAUCAUCAUAUAUCAUUAAUAUAUAUUUAGGUAAGUAUCUAUAUAGAUAGGAACCAAGUCCUAAAAAUGCUUUAUUCAUCUUAGGAUAUAGAUCACAACAUAUACAUUACUCUAUAAAUUUCUAUAGGAUAGAAAGACUAAAAUCAAUCUUUGCAAAUUCUAUUUUUAUCUGUUCAUAUUGAUCAAUUUUACUUUAUUAUCAUCAUGUUACACAUAUAGGAAGUAGCUAAGAAAAUUUACCAUAAUCAAAUCACUUAACAAUCAUCCUAACAUCAAGAUCACAAGUUACUACUUGAUAGCUUAGAAGCACCUAGAUCGAUUUAUACCAAGCCUUUUUUAUUUUGAUCAUAUCAUAUUUAUACUCAAAAUUCAAUCAACUUAUUAACCUAAGGAGUUAUCUACAAGAACCACAACUUAAUCGAAUCCCACUAUUAUUCAUUAAAAUGUCCAUAUUACAGUGAUCACAUAAAGGCAUGUCUUAUUCUUGUUCAAAUCUUCAUAUCUUUAUCCUCAGGGAUCCAUUAUCACAUAUUCAUCAUUAAUUCGUGUAAAUAAUAGUAUAUAUAGAUAAUUCAAUGUAAGAGAAUCGCAAUUCAACCAUUAACAAGCCAUGAUCACAAUGCCCAUGCAAGGGCUUAAACAAUUUUGGGAAGGGACAUGGGUCAUAAUGCAAUUGAAUUAAAAAUCAUGUUAAAACCAAGACAUUAACAUCAAUUCAUAACGAUUAAGCCAUUAAAACAUUUUUAAAAGGAACCCAUGUCUAGAUUGAGAAUGAACUUUGAUAAUGAAACUUCUUUGAAAAACAUUGAGAUUAACUCUGAAAUUGAAAGGUAAAUGAGAGAUGAAGAAUCACCAUAUCUUUAUAUUCUUGAAAACCUUCAAAACAUUAUGAAGAAAGCAUUGGAAUCCAAGCUCUAAUUAGUUCUUGAGCUUGACCAACAAUAGACAUUUCUAGGGAGAAGCUUUGUGGAGGGAAAUUCUAAUUUGUGUAGAAGGGAUUAGGAAUGAGUUGUCACGUGUUUAAUCCCUUAAGUACACCCAAAAAUCACAAAAUAAACUGAUUAGGGUCUGUCACGACCUGAAACCACCCCCUAAAAGUUAACGACAACCCUUGUAUUGUGACCGGGCGUACUUGACCCUUAGAAAUCUUGUAAAAGCCCUUUACUAUCGGUCAUCAUAUAUCACAUGAAAAGUAGUGCGGAAAUUUAAAAAAUUUCACGAAUAAUUAAUAAAAGACAAUAUUUCAUAAAUACUUAGAGAAUCUCAUUGUCACAAGCCAACUUCAAGACACGACAUAAUAUCUUAGGCGAUGGCCCUCUACAAUAAAGUAAAAUGCAUAACAAGUCUUUAAAUAAAAACUAAGCAAAUGACUAUGCCCUCGAAUAUAUGAGGACAUACUUUGCCUUCAGAGAAACUUUCCCAAGCUCUUCCCCCUAGCCUUGAAACCUUUAAAAGCUUCCAACCGAUAAUUAUAUAGUAUAGAAAAGUAUAGGGUUAGUACAAAAACAAUGUACUAAGUAUGGCAUAUGCAAAAACAUCUAAAAAGGGACAUUUUAGUAAAUUAGCUUUUCAUGCAAUUUAAGUAAAACAUUAAUGAAUACAAAGGUAAAACAUCAUACUAACCAUCAUUAACAACUGAGAUAAGAAUUCCCAUUUUUAAGCCAUAAAGAAACAUUACAGUAGCCUUGUCAAAACUUACAAUAAACCAACUUGACCUUCACAGUGAACUUCUUAAGCAUUUAGAGUAAAUACAUUUGAACAUUGAAUAUGAAUCAUUUAAAGCAUUGACAAUAAAUUCAACUUGAGCAAUUACAAUGAACUAUCAUACACUAAAUGAGUGAACUUCCAAGGCCAAGCGAAAAAUAAAGUGAACUCAUAUUCCUUAAGAGUUUCCCUACCGCAGAAUUAUCUGAAGUCUCACAAAGGUAAGAUAUGAAGGAAGUAUGCAUAUGCCUUCUACAAUACACACCAAAGCAACCCUCAAGACUACCCCUUUUGGCUUACUUAACUCGGCAUAAACAAGCCACUUAAUCAAUGGCAAGACAUUAAAAGAUACCCAACAAACCACCAAAGUCUUCCCUUUCGGAAUGCCUACUUAGUGAAAUUAGUAGAUGGCGUCCCAUACCACCACCUACCCUAAGUAGCACAUUCUUUUAGAAGGUUUGGCUCCAAGUCUUCCCUUUUGAAAGGUCCUACUUAGUGCAAUAGAUAGAUAGCAUUCCAUACCACCACCUACCCUAAGUAGUACGUUCUUUUAGAAGACUUAGUUCAUUCACUUUAAAUAAGUCUCACCGAGACUCCCCUUUCGAAUUGCCGACCUAGUGAAAUGGAUAAAUAGUGUCCCAUUCCACUACGCACACUAAGUAGAACACCCCUUUGAAAGACUUAGCAUGUUAAUUUCUUUUGUGGGAGUUAUCUUAACCGAUAUAGACCAUGAGAGCUAGACAUCGAAUCCCGAUAUAAACCUCUAUCACAUGAGGGAUCCUCACUUGCCUAGACUGAGGUCAUUCUCUUAGCAUUUACAUGGGUUUUCCAAUAGCUACACCUAUGUGGGCACAUAGUUAAGGGAUAAGGAGAUUGCUACUAAGUAACUCAUUCUAUAUUAACGAGGAGUACUCAUCUCAAGAGGUACAUUGGGAUACAACAUCUCAAUUCACGAAGUGUAAUCCACCUCUCCUUCAUAUCCCCUCGAUGCUAGGCAUAACUUCCCAUGGAUUCUCAACCUUAUAGACUAUAGCUUAAGGAUAACUAGUGAACACCACAUUUCCAAUCACGAAGAGUAUUCAUCCUCCAACCUAUUUUAGAAAGCUCAUGGGAUAUAGUGGGGUUUCUACUAAAGACUUCAUCUCAACUCAUGAAGAGUGUUCACCCAAAAAUCCCCUUUAGGACUUAACUUAGCUUCAUUCAGUCAUUCAAGUGUGAGUGUGUGUGUACAUGUGAGCACACAUUGCACAUAAGCUUCACUUCAUUCUUAUUUAACUUUUAUACAUGCUUAUACAUUCAUUCAUCACAUCACACUUUACAUACUUCAUAUAAUCAUAUAUUUCCUUUAGACAUAAUCCUUAACAUACUUCUCUAACAAGCUUCAUAAAAAACUGAACAAGAAUAUCUUCAUUUAAGCAUACUCUCUAGCCUAUUUCGUAUAAUAGCUUCAUAAGGCACAUUUAACAAGAAUAACAUACUUUUCAUCUUACUUCACAUAACAAGCCUUCAUAGCCUCAUUCUCAAAAAACUAGUAACUUUACAUUCAUACAAUCCAAGUAAACACCGCCACCAAGAAGGUGGACCAUACCACUCAAGAGAAUAUCAAAAAUUAAAGCUAAAAAACAUAACCAACUUAUCCUUCAAUCCAAGUUUUCAUAACCUAUAAAAUUUUACUCUAUAUUUAAUCAAAAUAAAUCCCCUUGGGCAGUAUCUAAACAACAAUAACCUCAAUAAUAAACCAAAGCUCAAAGACUACGAAUUCAUGCUCAUAUAACCCAUUUCUUAAACCAACAUUUAAAGAAAAGCUUUAACAUGAUUUCAUUGAGUUUUUAACCUUAAAAUCAUCAAAUAACAUUAGGAAUAACAUUAUUAAGUCAUUAAAAACGUUUUCAUGCAAGACCCAUAUUUAGAUUAGAAGAUAGUAGAAACUAGGGUUGAAAAUCCAUUUCGAAAUUAGUUUGAAGGGGAUCCUUAAAUGAAACAGAUUUCAAGGGUGGAUACCAUACCUCAAAUUGAAGAAAUACCAAAGGUUUUUUUAUUAAGAAACAACCAUCAACAUCCCUCCUAGCAUUUCUUGACCUCUAGCUUCUGUGGAGACUUGAGAGAGUCUUCUAAGGGGUUUUUUUUAGGAAGAGGGGUCUAAAAUGGGGUCUUAGGGUUUAGAAAACUUUAAUAUACCUAAUAAACACUAAAAUUAUACACCUAGGGUCUUAAAAUACUUGGGGUUUUUUACAUAACACACCCCAAGUUGACAGCAACUUCACAGAUUUGCAGGCCUCACAGACAAACCUUCACCAACGGACCAUCGUAGAGCCAACAGACCAUUGAUAGGGUCUCAUUGGUGGAUACUUAGCUCCAAAUGGAGCAUGGAAAACUGAAAUCACUGGUCUAAUCGACACCCUAGGUCGAUGGACCGUUUAGCGACCAACGUACCGUCGUUGGGGUUGUCGAUGGCCAAUGCUUUUUGGCAGAUUUUUCCCAAGUCUUGGGUCCUUCAUCUAGGGCCCUUGUGUGUCCUAGGUGGGGUCGUUCCCGAAUUUCAAACCCCUAAACGAAUUAGUCUAGCUCUUAGGAACAUCCAAUGCAAGUUUCAAGUAAAAUGUACACGUAAAACUCGUCUAAACAUAACAAGACACACUAGUACAUUCUAAGGCAUACUUUCCGAACGUCAUGGGCGUUCUUGGUCGAUUGAACUCCAAAAUUAACCAAACUUCACAUACUGCCUAAGGACACUAAACUAAAUUAGUUUAACUUAAAAUCAACUUAAGAAACAAACACGAGGCUCUAGUUCACCUUAGUUCGUUUUGGGGCGUUACAGAGUCAUGUUAGGAUGUGGAGUGAUUUUUCCAUUCACCCCUUGGCAUCAGUUGCAGGCCACCAUCGACGGGCACCAUCGAUGGCCAGUAGGUCCAUCAACAGGCCAUCUAUGGCUUCAGUCGAUUGGACCUUGUUCUGUUCUUGGGUUGAGCCUUGCCCAGGCUAAGUUUCCAUUGAUGAGAACCUACCAACAGUCCGUUGGUCAACCAACUGGGCGUUGUUUUCCUCAUCAAGGCAGUGUCUCGACAGCCCUUGGGUCCUUCUUGUGGGCCUUUUUGCUGGGCCAUUGAAAAGUUGUACCUAGAAGUUACCAACGUAAAUAUAAACCUUGAAAAGUUGUACACAUCCCACAUCAAUUUAACCUACAACAAAUACCCGCAUAUCGUCCAAACAUGAAAUGCCCUAUCAAGACACACAUGAACAUCUCAAGGGUUAACUUUUAAAUGUCUUGGACGAUCUUGGACAUUUGACCUCCAAACUUCACGUAACUCCCUAUACUACCUAUAAACGUCAUUAGAAAUCAUUUUAAUGCUUUAUAAUCUCAUUUCAUACAAUUUAUAAGAACACAUAGACACAUGGGACACAUAGGUGAUUAGUCGUUGAAUGUCUUGUUUAUCCCUUGACCUUUUACUUCCAUAUAACCUCAAACUUUUCAUACUUCCUCUAAGCCAUAUUAUAAGUCAUUUUAGAAUCUUAUAACCUUAAGACAAACAUGUUAUGCUUUAUACACCCUAACUCAUUUUGGGGGUCUUCCAAUAUUCCCCACUUAGGAGCAUUCGUCCUCGAAUGACACUUAGAAAACUUUAAUCACUACAAGGACUUCAAUGCAUCAAACAAAAAGUCUCUUAUAAUUUUUAUUGGAGGAAUAUAGUUCUCCUAGCUAUAACAUAGUCAUUACACUUCAAUUCACUAAGAGCUCAUCUUGCAACUAUUCUUUUAAGUCCGCUUAGGUAGAUUUCAACAACACUCAAGAAACAAUUCGGCACUCAUACUUCAAUGCACAUAGACAUAAGUUAAUUGAAUCAAUAAAGAUCUUUAUUAGUUAUAACUAGUGCCAUGAAGGUCAUACUCAACCAUAUCAUGCUUAGUGGUGUCCAUGGAGGAAUUUCCUUCUCCUUACCACACUUACAUGAAUCAUUUCACACCUAAGAAAAAUACAAGGUAAAUUUCCUUUUUUCAAUGAUAAAUUCUAAACUUAUAAACCAAGGUAUGUUCAUGUUUACUUUCUAGUGAAUUCAAAAUGGUAGGUCACACCAAGCACAUCACAACAAAUAGGAAGAGAUUUCACAAAAUUUUAAUUUCUAACAUAACACUAGCUUCAUAGUAAGAAUCAUUCGAGAAAAUAACACAAAUCAUAGGCACACACAUGACCACUUCGUUAAACAUGAUUUCACUUUUCAAAAGUGGAUUUACAAUCAUGCUUCCCAAAUCAUAAAGGUCACAUAGUUUUAAAGAGACUCAACACUUUUCGUUUUAAAGAUACUCAAUUUUCCAUUAUAACGCUAAACAUUACACCUCACAAAUGAUUGAUUACAUCAAUGUUUCUUGUCUUGUCUCAUGAAGUCAAAUGCACAAGUAGCAUAUCAAGAUGCAAAUCAACAUGAAAAACAUGGAUUUUUAUCAAAAUUUCCCUUCAUGCACCUUAAAAUCUUAAAAAUAUCCUUAAGUUAAUGCAAACAAGUCCAUACCAAACAUAUAAAGUUCAUGCAAUUCAUACUUUAAUGCAACAUUUUGUUCAUGAACAAGAUUACCAAAAAGUAUUAGAUUCAAAUUCAAGUAAGAAUAGAAGGACAAGGUAGAAAAAAUAUCUACAACUUUACUACUCUAUCACCAUCCCCCGCUUAGGGUAGACCCUAUUAAGAGCAACUUAACACAACCUUAAGAGGAUCUUAACUUAACAACUUUGAUUUUCAUCACAUAAAAGUGAUUACCACUUUAAAAGGAUUUACAGUAGGUUAACAUAGGAACACCAAGGUAUUCCAAGCCUUGUCACAUAUGCAAAUUGUCCCCCAAACAUUCAAGUUAGAUCAUACUAUUUAAGUACAUAAGUUCUUCAACAAUACAAUCGACACCAAGGUCAUACAUCAUUAAUGGAAACAAUAGAAGAGACUUAGCCUUAAGGACUCUUUCUUUUCUUUCAACAUUAAAGUAAGGUAAUUUAUAGGUCAAUCAAGCCCACAUCAUCAUCCUACAAGGACAAGAAUACUAAACCCACAUCAUCAUCCUACAAGGACAAGAAUACUAACCCUCAAUUCCAGGGGAAACGUCAAUGGCACAACAUCAAGGAACGCACAACACAAUAAGAAGUUUAGAAACAAAUCUACAACUCAUCAUGCUAUAAGACUCUCAUUAUUUAUUCAAAAUAGCAAAUCUUUUUUUUACAUUAAUUAUCAUAUUCAUAUGUAUCAAUUCUAUAAACAUUUCAACAACUUCCAAUCAAAGAACAAUUUUUUCAAUUCCCCAAAUAUCUUAUAGUAAGCUGCCAAGCAUUACAAUGAACAUGGUUCAAAAUUCCAAAAACACAACAUUUAGGCAAUUGAUACGAAAAGCAUGAAAAUAUGAGAUACAAAACUUUACCACCUCAUCCUACAUAAUCAUGGAUACUACCUUCACCCCUAGGGUCAAGUCUAUACAAAGAACUACAAUCCAUGUAAAGUAAUCUUGAAGGUUCACACAUAUAACAAAGGAAAUAUUUGAUCCAUUUACGAUAUCUUAGGCAACAUGUGCCAUAGGUAGUCACUAAGCAUUUCAAACUCCAAUCAUGCUAUUAGGCUACCAUCAUGCAAAACCAUUUACUAGCAUACCAUUUCAAAUGAGACUCAUUUUAAUAACAACUUCUAACUUGCUUUAACUACAUCAUGACAUACAUUCCUUAAAAUAGCCUGCUAUUUCACAUACGUCUCAUAUAUAGCCACAAGGGACAUCAUAUCAACAUAUAAUUUCAAAAUUCACCUUCACACAUACUCAUGAAACCAUAAAACCAAGAUACGAAUAAAAAACUCACCCUUUCUCCCUCAAUCAUAGAGAUACAAUCUCAUCCAAGCAGUCACAUCUAAAAGAUCACUGGACAAGAAAACAUAAGAGAGAGAUCUUAUCGAGUUAUGUUCUAUGGCAUGAUAUGAGAAUGAUGAAUAAGGGAAACUCUAUCAUACUAUAGCCUCUCGUACAAUUUGAUGUGUCACGAAUCACCACCAAUGACACAAGACUCGACUAGACAUGGCAAUAUGAGACUUCCUAGACCCUAAACCUCUUUUUAAAAAUCUCAUGCUCUGAUACCAUGUUUGUCAUAUAUGGGGAGCACACCAUAGAAGUAACAUGGAGUACUUGACCUAUCAGAUGCCUUAUACAAGCACAUAGUUAUCAUUCAUCGCAUUGUCAUAGUACAUUUAGCAAAAAAUUUAAAACUAUCUUAGCACAUCAUAUGCUAGAACAUUUCUUCAUACAUAUAAAUAAAAUAUGAUAUUGAAUACUUAGACUCUAAGUCUCUUUGUCAUCUUAGAAUCAACAACAUUAGAAUACAUUACGGACACAACCCUUAAAACAUAAUAGAUAAGUAUAAAACUUAUAAAGCUUUACUGGUAAACAUAAGUAGGAAAUCCUUGGAACUUAAGGACCCCUUUCCUUGAGCUUGGGAAUCACAUAUCAAGCUCCUCAAUAGUAUAUACAUUCUUUAAGCAUCCAUAACCUACACUUUGUGAAAAAAAUAGAGAAUAAUGGGAUUAGUACAAGAAUGCCCUCAGUAUGGAAACUAAGCAAAACAUGCAUUAAAAAGGGACAUUUUCUUAAAUUGUACUUCAUGCCUUUUUGAGUAAAUAUUUAUAAAACCUUUAGACUAUUGCAUUUAUAUCAUUCACAUACUUCAUAUAGACAUAUUCAAAGGCCAAAAAUCAUUGAAAAACACAUACAAAAUUCAAGUUAUUUUUGAGUCACAUUACAAUAAGCACUUUUCUUUACAGUGAGUAUAAUCCUUUCACAGUAACUUCUUUUCUUUUAUUCAUUAACCUCCCAAGUAACCCUCUAGUGAUACUUGGUGUAAUGCAUCACCUUAAGGUCACAUGCAACAUACAUAGGCCAACACGUAUCAUCAUAUCAACAUAAUAUAUCAAAGACACAUCUAAGUCAAGAAUCUAUUGGCUUUACAGUAAAGUACAUCAAUUUGCACAUCUAUGGAGUUCACAUCACAUAACUCAUUAUAACACCUUGUUUAUGACCCCAAUCAUAGUCUACUAGAGAAAUGUACAUGUGAAGCCCCACAACCCACACAUACUUAGUAAACCCUUAAUGAGACCCACAAACCUUAUCAUUCAAUUCUUAAAUCAACAUAUUCAGUGAAGACAACCUCAUUCAUGUCAACAACCUUCAUCAUAUAUACCUUAGGACUCACAUAAUCCAUAUAAGAAUACGACCACAUCACAAAGACUCAUACCAUGCACAUCUUCAUGACAAAUAGACAAAUACUACCAUGCCAUGCAUAAAGACAUAACCAUAAUCAUGCACGUAAGAACACCAAUCUAUAACUUCCUAAGGAGUUAUUUGUGCAUUAUCUAGAUGGGUUCAUUACUUCCACCUAUCCUAAGUAACCUCCCUUAAGUCAUCCUAGUUAUGGUCCUAGUCAUUUACCUCUAUUAUCCAUUUUACAUUAUGAAACUAUAGCCUUAACCAACACUAAAAACAUUGGUGCUAAACAUGGAAUUUGGUGUUGUAGAGCCUUACACCAAUGGAAAGUGUCAUUGCCUUGCCAAGGUAGAUCAUUAACACAUGCUAGGACUUUAGUUGAUAUCACAUUGGUACAUCCUAUGUGACAAGCAUAGUUUAUGAAACUUGGGGGCAUCAUGUAAACAUCAACUCUAACACCCUUUUGGGCCAUGAGGCUAUCCAUCCUAUGAGGAAUAUGGUGACCUACCUUCCUACAAUAGAACGGGACACUCGUCAUCUUCAAGUUCACUUGUUUCUAAGCUAAUUUCCCUAUUGUUAAAAGACCUUAUUAAUAUUACUUUAAAAAAUAUAUUCUUAGGAAAUUUAACCCCUCAUAUGCUCAGCUCAUAGGUCAUAGAUGAGAGUUCAUCAGUCUAAAUCAUGUGAGAAACCCUUUCACAUGUACGUAUCAUAUAUCAUUAGCAUUAUCCAGUUAAGGAUACACUUGAGAACACCUUUCACGGCAACUGUAUUUACUAUAUCAUCAUUCAUGCAUGUGUAUAUACAUAUAUGUGAGAAAACCUUUCACAUAACACAUUAAGGUCACACAUGUUCAAACAUCAAUGCAUAAGUCUAUAGGUAUAAGCAUAUGAGCAAUAUAUUCAUAUGAACCCACUAUGACAUUAUGCACAAUCAUACUUCAUCAUAUCAUAUAUGUCAUAUUCAUAAUAUGCUAAUACAUGCACUUUCAUGUACAUAGAAACCAAAACUAGAAACUAUCCUAUCAAGGCACACAUGUGCAAUGCAUAGGCAAAGUCCCAUACCCUUGCUUAUACUAGUACACCUAUCAAGUCAUCCCAGUUAAGGAAACACAUAUCAUACUUUCAUAGACAUCAUCUUAACAUGCAUAUUAGUAGACACUAGUGAAUAUGAGAACUACCUUUCAUUUAGACACCAUGACCUUUACUACUUGUAACCAUGCAUAAUGUGUGGGUGUGUAUACAUUGGUAAGCAUGAUCACGUAAUGGCUAUCCAUAAAAUAUUAAGGUACAAACCCUCUUAUGAACAUAAUGCACAACAAUGCAUAGACCACACAACGCCAUUUAGCAUAGUAGGCUAGACAUUCUUCACAUUUCAUUCAAGACUCCUAACCUUAGCAAUUCACACAUUCACAUGGGGGUACAUGGGUAGGGUUCUUAAAUCCUUAUACUUCAUUAAUGGAACCACCUACUCAUGAUCUUAGCAUAACCAUCUACAUGCUCAUAACAAUAGUAAGAUAAAUUAGAUGGACAACUAAAGUAGAUGACUAGACACAAGUUACACAUAAGGUGAUCAUCAUAACCCCUCAUUCAUAUAUUAAUCAAUUUUCCUUCAAGUCUAUGGUAAACACAUAUAUAAUGAAAAUAAAGUAAACACCACCACCAUAAGUGGACCAUACCACACAAUGCCAUACAAGGCUUCAUCAACAUUACUACAAAGAAGUAGAGAAGAAGAGCAAUUCUUACCCAUUUAUCAAACUUUGAUCAUCAUUGAUAAAUACACCUUUCUCAUCAUUAAUAAAUUAUAGUACAGUAUCUAUAUGUACUUACAUCAUAAAAGAAACCAUGUACAAGUCGUUACAAGAUCAUCAUACAACUAGUGCACUAUAUCACAUAUAUCUUAGAAAGUAGAGAGUUAUAGAUCAUCAAUUAACUUUCUUCAUUUUUAUCAUCAAUCAUAAUGUAUCAAUAAUAUAAAUUUAUGGCAGUAGCUAAAGAUAUAGGAACCAAGUCGUAAUCAUGCUUUAUUCAUCUUAGGAUAUAGAUCACAACAUAUGCAUUACUCUAUAAAUGUCUAUAGGCUAGAAAGAAAUAAGUCAAUAUUUACCAUUUCUAUUGUUAUCUAUUCAUAUUUAAUCAAUUUUAAUUGAUGAUCACCAUGUUACAAAUAUUAGAAGUAGAUAAGGCCAUUUACCAUAAUAGAAUCACAUACUACUUGAUAGCUUAGCAGCACCUUUGUUGUGUUGCAUUUUGUGAUCUUCCGCUUCAGUCUGCGUUUUUCGGAUAGCCGGGACCCGAUGUUGAUUCCCGAUUUAAAUGUCAGCUCCCGGUUUGGGGCGGCCCAUCUGAUUAGUUCAGCUAUCACUGCUGGAAACCCCAGCGGUUGUUCGGCUGCGUACUCCCCGUCUGCCUAUCUCACACUCCCAAAGCAAAUUUGGAUUUCUUCUUUCAUUUUCCUUUCCUGCAUAUCAACUUAUACCAAACCUUCAUUAUUUUGACCAUACCAUAUUUAUAAUAAAAAUUCAACCAACUUAUUAACCUAAGGCAGUAGCUAUAAGAACCACAACAUAAUCGAAUUCAUUAAAACGUCCAUAUUAUAGUAAUCAAAUAAAGACAUGUAUUAGCCAUGUUCAAAUCUUCAUAUAUUGAUCCUCAUAGUUCCUUCAUCAUAAAUUCAUCAUUAAUACAUGUAAGUAACAGUAUAUAUAGACAAUUCAACAUAAGAGAAUCACUAUUCAACCAUUAACAAGCCAUGACCACAAUGCCCAUGCAAGGGCUAAAUUGAUUUUGGAAGGGACAUGGUUUCAUAAUGCAAUUGUAUUAAAAAUUAUGUUAAAACCAAUACAUUAAUAUAAAUUCAUCAUGAUUAACCCAUUAGAAACUUUUUUAGAAGGAACCCAUGGCUAAAUUGAAGAAGAAGAACUUUGAUCAUGAAACUUCUUUGAAAAACAGUGAGAUAAACUCUCCAAGUGAAAGGUUACUUCGAGAUGAAGAAUCACAUUACCUUUACAUUCAUGAAAACCUUUAAAAUGUGAUGAAUAAAGCAUAGGAAUUCAAACUCUAACUUGUUCUUCAGCUUCAUCGACAAUGGAGAUUUCUAGGGAGAAGAUUUUAUUCUAAUUUGUGUAAAAGGGAUUGGGAAUGGGUUUUUCACGUGUUUGAUACCUUAAAUACACCCAAAAAUCAAUAAAUAAACCUAGUAUUGUAAUGUUAGUACGUGGGAUGAAUUUCCCAUUCACCCCUUUAAGGAGGCAGUGGCAUGGCAGCAGUUGUAAGCCACAAUUGACGGGAAGCAUCAACGGCCAAUAGGUCCAUCGACGGGCCGUAUGUGGCUUCAUUUGAUCGGAAAUUGGCAUGUUCUUAGGUUUAUACUUUACCAGGGUAAUUUUUCAUCAACGAGAACCCACAAACGGUCCGUUGGUCAACCAACUGGGCAUCGUUUGGCUCGUCGAUUUACCCUUCCAAGGUAGUGCCUCAACAGCUCUUGGGUCCUUCUUGUGUGCCCUUUUGUGGGUCCCUUGAGAAGUCGUAUCCUAAUGUUGACAAAAUAAAUAUAAACCUAAGUUUUAGAUCUCCCACAUCAGUUCAAAUAUGCAUGGCCCCAUUAAGACACACAUGAGCAUCUCAAGGGAUAACUUUCGAACGUAAUGGACGUGUGACCUCCAAACUUCACGAAACUCCAUAUACUGACUAUAAAAAUAAUUAUAACUAAUUUUAAUACUUCAAAAGAUCAUGAAAAACCAUAUAUAAGCACGCACAGAAACAUGAGACACAUAGGUGACUAAUCGUCGAACGUCUCUGUCGUCCCUUGACGUUUGACUUCAAAAUAACCUCAAACAUUACAUACUGCCUAUAAAAAUAUUUUAAUUCAUUCAAUGCCUUUAUAAAAUUAAGGAAAACAUGUUAGUAUCUAUACACCCUAACUCAUUUUGGGGUCUUUUAGUGGGGAUAUAAGACUUCACCUAUGCAUUGCACAAGUAGCUUUUGAGGGAAGUCCUAUGAAGCUGUUCUAAUGUAAAUAAAUAUGUAUAUGUUACUUAUUCAUGUCAUUGUAGUAAUUAUUUACUGUUUUUGAAGUGCAUGGUAUGAGUCUUAAUUGAUCUAUGUGAUGUGGCCUUGCCCUUAUAUGAACCGUGGUUGUCUUAAUGACUAUAUGAUGAAGGUAUUUUUGUCAUAAAUUAAGUUUUUUAUAUGGAUUUGUUGAUGUAUUAAAAGAAGUUUUAAGUCUUGUGGUCUCAUGAUAGGUCUACUAAGUAUGUGUGAGGUUAUGGGGCUUCACAAGUACAUUGCACUAGUGGACUUAUAUUAGGAUUGUGAGUAAGGUUUACUAAUGUUCUAUAUGAAGUUAAAUUAGUAUAUGUUUAAAGUGGAUAGAGUUUACUGUAAGGUUCCUAAAGUCUUGGCUUAAAUAUGUCUUUGAUGUAUUAUACUUCUAUGAUUGUGUGUGUUGGCUUAUAUAAGUUGUAUAAUUGAUUCCUUGUGGCCUUAAUGUAAUUCAUUGCACCAAGUAUCACUAUAGGGUAACUUGGGAGGUUAUGAAAUUAAAGAAAAGAUGUUCACUGUUAAAGGAAAAAUGUUCACUAUUAAGGGAAAUGGCUCGCUGUAAAAAUGACCCUAAAAGUUGCUUAAAUUCUAUGUGUGAUCUUAUAUGCUAUUUGGACUUUGAUUAUGUCUAUAUGAAGUAUGUUAAUGAUAUAAAUGCUAUUGCAUAAAGGUUUUAUGAAGAUUUACUCAAAAAGGCAUGAAGUAGGAUUUCAAGAAAGAUGUCCCUUUUAAAUUCAUGUUUUUGCAUGGUUACCAUACUUAGUGUAUUCUUGUACUACCUCCACUCUUCUCUAUUUUUUUACAAAAAGUGUAUGUUAUGUAUGCAUAAAGGAUAUCUUUAAUGGUGAAGAGCUUGAUAUAUGUUUCUCAAGCUCAAGGAAAGGAAUCCUUAAGUCCAAGGAUUCCUAAGUCAUGUCUUUACUAUAAAUUGUAUAAUAUAGUUCUUAUGUUUUAUCUUUUAAGGUUCGUGUCGCUAAUGUAUUCUAAUAGUGUUGAGUGUAAGUUAGAAAAGAGACCUGAGUAUUUUACUGUGUAUGAUGAUAUUUUAUAUGUAUGAAGUAAUGUUGUAGCAUAUGAUUUCUAAAUUUUUAAAAAAUAUUCCGCUAAAUUUACCUAUGACAAUGAGAUAAAUUAUAAAUAUGGGAUUGUAUAAGACCUCAAAGAGGUCAAGUAAGCCAUGUUACUUCUAGGGGUGCUCCCCAGAUGGGACACAUACACUCCUCACAUAGGUAGCUUACAUAGACUUCUCUUUUACACAACAUAAGCAAUAUACAUGAUAUAGUCUAAUAUGAUUGUCUCACAUAAAACCAUCUUAAAAAUAGUACAAUAUUUCGUCUUUGCCAAUACAACUUUAAAAUGCAAUAUACGCUUACAACAAUGUAUCAAACAAUAUAGGAAAAAAUAAACAUCUCUAUACAUAAGCAACAACAUCGCUAGAAAAGUGAAAAGUAUAAUCCUUAAACAUGAGGACCUACCAACAACUUGGAGGAAAGUGUGCAAAUCUUUUUGAAGAGUGGCCUUCGAAACUUCCAUUGGCCGGAACCUACAUAUUUGUAGAAAACAUAGAAAUAUGGAUCAG